This 82469-nucleotide long non-coding RNA is filed under the name Triticum aestivum (bread wheat). Its description in RNAcentral is "long non-coding RNA (TAES_LNC009028)". Lineage: Eukaryota; Viridiplantae; Streptophyta; Magnoliopsida; Poales; Poaceae. The record is from RNAcentral.
AUGUGCGUGCUUGGAAGCUACUCGUGUCUUGCAUGUUCGACAUUGGGCAUGCCGCAGUAUCCAGUGAAUCUUCUGGCUUGUUAUUAUGUGUAGCUAUAUGAACUUAGUCUGUUACCUGUGUCAAAUAAACUGUGUUUACAUUGUUUGCUGAACUGCUUGGGCCAUGGAUGAACGGUGUUGUGCAAAGUGUACAUGAUCCAGACUUGACUGUAUUUUAUUGGUUGAUUGUGGAAACUUGGUGCUGAAAUGCUCGUAGAUGCAGAUCUGAAAGUUUGUACUUUGGCACAGUAACUGAUAGGUCAUGCUGUUAAUUGAUCGAAAAAUAUGAGUGUUCUAAAUAACUGGUAUAGAAAUAUUGGCGAAUUAGAACUCUCCCGUGACAUAUUCAAAAGUAGGGUUGGAAUCCUAAAAUCAAACAAGUAGCUGCUGCCACAACUGACUACUCUGUGCCAGGGCUCUAGUGUUUUUACCUGAAGACCACGGGUUCUUUUUAUACCAUGAUACCCACUCCUAUGAGGCAAAAUUGACAAAUUUGAUCUAUGGACGAAAUCAAAUCACAGAAUGAACUGCCCGUAAAACUAUUUCACACGGCUGACCUUUUUGUGUGACGCCCGACACGAAGGCGCCACACUACACUGUGCAACGCCUCACAGAUAGGCGCUAUACGCCUGCCAGCGUCGCACCCGUGUGAUCCGAAAAUUACUAAGUCAGUGUGCAGCGCCUGAGAGCUAGGCGCCACACUAUACAGUGUAGCGCCUAGCUUCUAGGCGUUGCACUAGUGGUUGCUUCAUUUUGUAGUGCAACCACUAGUGCAGCGCCUGAGAGCUAGGCGCCACACUAUACGGUGCAGCGUCUAGCUCUUAGGCUCUGCACAAUGACUUAGCAAUUUUUAGGCAGUCUGGGGUGCAACGCUGGCCAGGCGUGUAGCGCCUAUCUGUGAGGCGUUGCACAGUGUAGUGUGACGCCUUCGUGUCGGGCGUCACAUAAAAAGUCAGCCGCGUGAAAUAGUUUCACGGACAGUUCAUUCUGUGAUUUGAUUUCGUCCACAGGUCAAUUUUGUCAAAUUUGCUCUCCUAUGAGGCUAUGACAGAGCAUAGAUUUCUUAGGAAAAGAACUUUAUGGGCUGUAAUCCUGCAGACCAAACAAUCGAUUGCUGCCAUGACUACUCGGUGCCAAGGCUAUAGGUUUUUUACACAAUAGGUAGAUGAUUAUACACUGUAGUUUUUUGUUUACCUUAUACUAUACACUACUUUUUACCCUAAAAUAAACAGUUGUACACUAUAAACAUCAAUGAAGAUACAGCUUAUAUGCUCUAGAGCAUUCUACUAAGAUUGUUAAGGAUAUAUACUGAAAAAUAGACACUGACUUGUAUAAAUACAUUACAGUACAUAUAAGUUCCACAAACUAGAAAACAAUUCAAUGAAUGUUUCAAACUGAAUUGUAAAAAAAAAAACAUCUCUAUGAGAAAAUCAAAAUCUAUCACAAGCUAGAAACCAAUUCAAUGAAAUCUAUCGCAAACUAGAAAACAUCUCUUUCUCCAACUUCAUAUAAAGGAGUUUGGCGUCUCAAGAAAGCCGGUUUGUCUCAAAUUUGCCGUCAGAUUGUAGUUAGCCCGCGUAUAUUGAGAUUGACAAAGCCUGACGUAAUCAUCAAGGCACUUAUCCAGGUGUUCAUCAUUUGUUCUUGCACUCUCCAAAGAGGAACCAAUGGUUCCGAUCAGGUGAUCACAAAGGCAUAGGCUCUUCAUUCUACCUGUCAUCCACAAAGGGUUCUGUCGUGGAAUUGUCACGGCAGAUGUCCUCAAGCUAGGACUUAGUCGUGGAGCCAUCGCCGCUAGGAAGCUUGAAGGGGUUAACGGGACAAGGAACACGAGGGUUUAUACUGGUUCGGCCCCUUACGGUGAAGGUAAAAGCCUACGUCCAGUUGAGGUGGUAUUGAUUAGGGUUUCGAUGACCAGGGAGCUUAACUGCUAUGCCUGGCUCUCGAUGAGAUCUUUCUUGUCCCUAAACCGCUGCCGGGUCGUCCCUUUAUAUAGAGAGGUUGACGCCCAGCGGCUCUCAGAGUCCCGGUCGGCUUAUAAAAGUGUCCGGCUCGGACUCUCAACUAUUCUUGCCUUACACUACAAGUCUCGCCAUACGGCGGUUUAUCACUACGGGCCUUAAACCAUCUCCGGGUCUUAAGCCCAUCUUUGGCCCACCGUCUUCAGGCUUAGCACCCGGCUUCAAGUGAUGACCCUUAUGAGUAACCCGGCCCCUUCUGGCGGGUGACUCUAAGGUUUAUAUCCUCAACAUUAGGCCCCAGAUUGAUUUGAGCCGGCUCAUGUCAAUCUUCAAUUCUUUCGACAGAAAAUCUUCGGCUUAUAAUUGUGUGAAGGCCAUAACCCGGCGUGACGUCAUCCUCUGGACUCCGGGUAAUCCGCCGUGACGUCAUCUUCCAUUAAGUCCAUUUUUUACUCCACCAGAUCCGCAACGGAUCUUAUCUUUACUGCCAUCCCAAAAAUCGAGGCGCCUCUCGGGCGAGAUAACCGCGCCGUGGCCUCCUCGUUUCUCGCGCCCACUUAUGAGACUGGCCUUAUAAAUAGCCCGACCCUCGGGUCUUUCUCAUUCUCCCUCUUCUGUCGCCUCCUUCCUCUCACUGCCCCCGUGCUGCUCGAGCUUCGCCGCCGCCGCCGCCGCAACAGAGCUCCGCGUCCUCGUCGUCCUUGGCCGCUGCAUCACCCUGAACCGUCCAGAGAACCGCGGCGAACCCCUGCAUCCGUAAGUUCCUUCCUCCUCGUAGGAUAGAUCUGCGUUAAGCUCCUGUUGUUCUUCCCGUGUUCUUCGCCGUCGUUCGCGAGUUCUUGGUAGUUUUUAUUUUUACUGCCUUUCUUGAUCUCUAUCUGCAUAGGACGGCUGCGGUAGUGGUUUCACACCCAUUCCAAUGUUCAUAGAUCCCUUUCUACUGCAUAGAAGUCCCAUUUGAACCUGCGAACUUUCUCCUGCAUCUGUUUUAGGUCUAGAAAUUUUCUUUUUAGCCGACCAUUUUGAUCCAAAUUAUUUACUGCAAUGUGUGAAACCUGUUUUCACCACACUUAGUAAAAAACUGCACUCGUUGAGUCAUGGCGGUUUACAUUUGCGGUUUAAAGAAACCACGCGCCGUAGAAUUUUCCGGCUCACUUACAACAAGGCUGUAGACGAUUUAAAUUACUCUCAAGCACACCAGCGGCUUAGAUAACCCGAUGCACUUAGAUAUAUGUCAUUAGGCCCCUCCAUAAGCCGCCACUUUAAACACUGAACUGUAAAUUUCCUCCGGCUUACAAUUAAACCGGACAUUUUACUUUUAUCAUAGGCGUCCGACUUUCACCAUGCCUCCCAAAGCUCCCAAAGCUCCCAUCACAUGCAAUUGGAUGAGGUCCAAUGUCACCGAUGAGACUUUAACAGAUUUCAUGAAGUCGGGUUACCUGCCUAAGAAGGACGUCAUGUCCUACCGUGCCCCCGACCCAUCAGAGGAGAGACCACAGCCAAGGGACGGGGAGGUGGUCAUUUUUGCGGAUCACAUGAGCCGGGGCUUUGCACCGCCCGGCUCAAAGUUCUUUAGAGACGUGCUGAAUUUCUUUGACCUGCGGCCACAAGACAUAGGACCCAAUUCUGUGUCCAAUAUAUGCAACUUCCAAGUGUUCUACGAAGUCUACCUUGGAGAGGAGCCCAGCCUGCUGCUCUUCAGAGAGCUCUUCUACCUGAACAGUCAGAACGAGUGCGCCAACGGGCCAAGCUUGGAACUUGGCGGCAUCUCCAUUCAGCGACGGAGAGACUGCCUUUUCCCUUACGCCGAGCCGCCGAGUCACCCAAAGGACUGGAACCAGACGUGGUUCUAUUGCCAAGACACGUCGCCGGCUGACGAGAGCCCGCUGCCCGGCUUUCGCCCUUCACGUCUGGAACCAACUCACCCUCUGUCUGACAAGUUAACUCAGGCGGAGCGCCAACCUCUGCUCCCCACCAUCAACAAGAUCAAGGCUCUCCUGGGCAAUGGUCUCAACGGAAUUGAUCUGGUCCGGGUCUGGAUCUCGUGGCGGGUGAUCCCCCUGAGCUGCCGCCCCGGCUUAAUGUGUGAAUACACAGGCCGGAAAGAUGACCCCCCGCGACACAGCCGCAACGAUCUUCCUGAAGACGUUGCUGAAGACAUGACCAAGGCCCUUUUAAAUGAGAGCUUGGCAGACUGCGGGAGGACCGGGUUAGCCCCCUUCUGCAAGACCAACCCAGCCCCAGCAGUAAGCCGCUGAUCUGAACAUCUUAUCUUCUUCUGUAGAUAACCUUCAUCUGAAUCUUUAAGAAAUCAUCAUUGUAUUUUUCAGGCUGAUGACAAAUUCUGGAAGGUCAAAUAUGACCAUGAGGCGGCCAAGAAGGCCAGGAAGGCUAAGAAAGCCGCCAAGAGAGCUGGUCCCCGUAAGAAGGGAAGUAGGCCUACUGCUUCAGAGCUGCUGCAACUAAGCGACAGCUCCGAGUCAGUGGUAACCCCUGAACCUGUAAGCUCUUGUUGUAUUUGUUGUUCAUUUCUGUCCACCUUAUCAAUACUGUUCAUCAACAGGAUGACACCGGAGCAAGUAACCCGGUGGUUGAAGAGGUAAUGACACGUUCCUCCGACUCGGAGCCCUUGCCAAGGCUGAAAGUCCGAAGGGUAACCCGGAAAGUAAGAUUUUCUCAUCCUUUAGCUUAUCAAGAUCCUCAAUUUCUUUUGAAGCAACAGACUCAUGAGAGCCGGCGGCACACCCGGACCAACAAGGACGCUGACCUCUCCUCCGGCUUACCCGACGCAUCGAGGAAACGCCGAACCGAGGUUAUCUCCAACUUGUACCCUUUUCAUCCUUUGGCGGGUGUUAUACGUCAACCGCUCAAUUCUUCUGAUUCAAACUAUCAGGAAACCUCACCCUCCUCUGGUGACUCGAUGCAAUCAAGCCUGCCGGCCUUCAAGACCGUACCCGGGUAAUGAUGAUCAUCUCUUGUUGUGCUUAUCUUUGCUCAUACCUUUGUACUAACCUUUUUGUCCUUUCAGUGCCCAGGCAAAGCUCACCAAGAGGGCGAAGAAGAAUAAGCCGGUCGAAGAGCCGGACUUGCCUGAACCGGAGGUAGCAGCUCAAGAACCGCCAGCUGCCUCCGCUCCCGAAGCACCGCUCCAACCGACAAGGCAACUGCAGAAGCUUCUGCUAACCCGGAGACCUCUAGCUCGGCUCAGCCGGUCAAUGACCCGGACGUGGUAAUCACCCGGACAGAGUUUGUUGAGCCGAGGAGACCUACUGCACUGGCCAAGUGCUCCGCCAAGGAGGAGUUGCUACAGCACCGCCGGGUUAAUCUGGACCUCACCGACCACGCCAAUCUGAACACUGGAGAGAUCGUCUCCGGCUAUGUCAACCAAGUGCACAAGAGCCGGGAUGUAGAGAUCGGCAUGGUGAACCAGAUUCAGCAGAAGUCUGAGGUACUACUCUUCUUUCUUCUUGCUUACUGCAUGGUUAUCUUGUUAUUCUUACCAUACUCUAGCCCCCAAGUCUACGACUUAUGAUAGAAUAUGUUGUAGACUUAAGUUCCGGCUUACUCGCUUGAACCGGCAAUUUGUAAAUAGAAACGUUCGAUAUGCAUUAGCCCCCAAGUGCCAAGUGUCUUUGCUUGGAAAGUGCUUGGGACAUUAAAAUUGCAUAAUAACUGUUCAUCCUAUAACCCGAAAAUUAUGCAGGCUGCUUGCAAGAAGUUUGAAGCUGACAUCUCCGAUCUGAAGACCCGCCUGAGGACGCAAGAAACUUGUUGGAAAUAUGCCCUAGAGGCAAUAAUAAAUGGUUAUUAUUAUAUUUCUGUGUUCAUGAUAAUAGUCUUUUAUUCAUGCUAUAAUUGUAUUGUCCGGAAAUCGUAAUACAUGUGUGAAUACAUAGACCACAACCUGUCCCUAGUAAGCCUCUAGUUGACUAGCUCGUUGAUCAACAGAUAGUCAUGGUUUCCUGACUAUGGACAUAGGAUGUCAUUGAUAACGGGAUCACAUCAUUAGGAGAAUGAUGUGAUGGACAAGACCCAACUUAAGCAUAGCAUAAAAGAUCGUGUAGUUUCGUUUGCUAGAGCUUUUCCAAUGUCAAGUAUCUUUUCCUUAGACCAUGAGAUCGUGCAACUCCCGGAUACCGUAGGAGUGCUUUGGGUGUGCCAAACGUCACAACGUAACUGGGUGACUAUAAAGGUGCAUUACGGGUAUCUCCGAAAGUGUNNNNNNNNNNNNNNNNNNNNNNNNNNNNNNNNNNNNNNNNNNNNNNNNNNNNNNNNNNNNNNNNNNNNNNNNNNNNNNNNNNNNNNNNNNNNNNNNNNNNGGGGGGGAGGGAGGGCAGCAAACACACAGCCUUUGGCGCCUCCCUCCUCCCCUGCAACACCUCUCUCUCGCGCGCAGAAGCUCGGCGAAGCCCUGCCAGAGAGCCGCUACAUCCACCACCACGCCGUCGUGCUGUUGGAUCUCCAUCAACCUCUCCUCCCCCCUUGCUGGAUCAAGAAAGGAGGAGACGUCGCUGCACCGUACGUGUGUUGAACGCGGAGGUGCCGUCCGUUCGGCACUCGGUCAUCGGUGAUUUGGAUCACGGCGAGUACGACUCCGUCAUCCACGUUCAUUGGAACGCUUCCGCUCGCGAUCUACAAGGGUAUGUAGAUCCACUCCUUUCCCCUCGUUGCUAGUAGACUCCAUAGAUGCAUCUUGGUGAGCGUAGGAAAAUUUUAAAUUAUGCUACGAUUCCCAACAAAACUGAGACCCGGAAGGCCAAUGCCAAAUUUGUGUCCAGUAUUGCUGCGCAAGAAAAGCUGAAGACGGACUUUGACGCUGAACGGAAAGCUUGGGCCGAAGAAAAGGCUACUCUGGUGAACCGGGCCGAACAGGCGGAGAAGGCUCUGACAGAGAAGACCGCCGAACUCUCCGGCUUAAAGCGCCAAGUGUCCCAGAUGGUUGCCGCAAUCUUCGGUAAGUCAUUUCACCGGCUUUCAUUAAGUUUAUAAUCUUUAUAUCUCAUAACUCAUCCUUGUCGGCGGCUUAUCUUAUUCUGUUAAACAGGUCCCAGAAGCGCCAACCUCAACCAAAGUGUGGUAACCAAAUUGAAGGCCGUGUACACCCUGGUGGAGCAACUCUACACCAGGUCACAGCGUGCCUUGGCUGUGGUGGCCCUAUCCAAUGAGGUGCCGACUCACCUGGCGGAAGUUCUUCGCCGGCUCGCCGUUCUUCCUCAACGUGUCCAAGAGCUGCGACGGGCCUCUGCAAGAGCCGGAGCCAUAGCUGCUCUGAGCCGGGCCAAGGCGUUCCUUCUAGAACUAGACCUGGCGGACAUCGCUCUGGGCUACCCCAGUUUGAAGGAAGACGGCACCCCCUUCGACCAAAGGGACUUUGCAGCCUGCGUGAAGAUCGUACGCCCUGUGGCCACUCUGAUUGGCAAUGACACGGAUCUGACUAAGUACCAGCCGGGUUACGAUUCAGAGAAUCAGAGGAUCCCCACUCCGCGCUAUGAAGCCAUCAGCUUAGUCCCGCCGACUCGGAAGCACACCUUUGCCCCGGAGAUUGACCCGGCCGGGCUAAUUGACGAGGAAGCUCAAUUUGAAGCUCUGAGCGGCAUUGACUGGAAGUCGUCAACUUUCCAGGUCUUGGGAACAGCCGGAGGAGCGGAGAGGGAUGAGCCGGAAACUUCAACCCAACAAGCAUCGUAACUCUGCAGGCGGCUUAUUAAACAAUGCUUCACCCUUUUGGACUCGAUGAGUCUUGUAAUAGAGUAGGACCAACACUUUAACUUUGCCGUGCCAUCGUGCACGCGUUGAAUGCUGAAUUCCAUUGAAGUUGUCUCCUUUAUACUUCUCCGGGUCAUAAUUGAUCAUUCAUUUUCCUUAAGCUCAAAUAGUUGCCUUUAACUAUCCUGCCUAGAAGGACAAAUCACAAGUCUCUAGGCGGCUCACCGCACUGAGAAUCAUAGUUUUAGACAUAUAACCCGGAAUAUGAAUCAAAAAAGACUGGCCCUCAAUUAUGUCCUUGAUAUACCCGUAAUAACACACUUACCGGCCUGCAAGCACACUUCCGGCUGAUAUAACCCGGGUAAUAAGGUUGGUACCUCAAUUCCGGUUUACCAGUCUUAAUAACACCGAUUGUAUUCGACUAGUACUAUAAAUCAAAGUUAAGCCGGCAAAGUGAGACCCGCCGUGCACACUUGAAAAUAUCAGAAGAACUCGCUAUAAAUCAGAAGAACUUAGGGGCUUCCGGUUCGAAUACGACUAGAGACCCGUCCCAAAGGGGUUAUGCUAGGAUUCGAAUGCGAUCAUAUAGCCCCCAGUGGGUGUGGCGAUGCCAAUCAAGAGGGUACCGACAGCUAUGUUCUCUUUGGUUCGAAUACGACCCAUGUUUGAACAGGAAGCCCCCAAAUGACCUUAAGAAUUGUUUAACGACGCUGAUUCGAAUACGAUCCACGUCGGUUCCCAAAGAGGUUAAACUAUGAUUCAAAUAUGAUCAAAGAAAACUCCCCAAUGAGCUCGGCACUUUGCCAAUCAAAUGGGUAUCGACAGCUAUGUUCUCUUUGGUUCGAAUACGACCUAUAUUUGAACAGGAAGCCCCCAAGUGACUAUAUUGUGUAUGGCUAGAUUCGAAUACGAUCAUAAGCCGGAUCCUCCUUCAAGUUAUCACAUGAUCUUGUAAUGAAAACAACACAUUCAUCCUUGGAGGAGAAAAAAGGACAGAGGUCCUGCUUUAUUGCUUAUCAUAAUAUAUACAUGGCUUAGAGAAAUAUGUACAUUAUGAGAGCCGGUGGCUCAAGUGUAAUAAGGCCGAAGCUGAGCUAUGUUCCACGGCCGACGGGUCUCUUCCUCCGACUUACGUGAAUCUUUGUGCUCCCGAACGUCAAUGAGGUAAUAUGACCCGUUGUGCAAAUUCUUGCUGACUACAAAGGGCCCUUCCCAAGGCGGGGAUAGCUUAUGCGCAUCUGUUUGAUCUUGGAUGAGCCGGAGCACCAGAUCGCCUUCCUGGAAGACCCGGGAUUUAACCCGGCGACUAUGAUAACGGCGCAGGUCCUGUUGGUAAAUCGCUGAGCGAGCUGCUGCCACAUCACGCUGUUCGUCCAAUAAGUCAAGAGCAUAUUGGUGCGCCUGUUCAUUAUCCACCUCAACAUAAGCCGCCACUCGAGGCGAAUCAUGACGGAUGUCACUGGGGAGGACUGCUUCUGCUCCAUAAACCAUGAAGAAAGGCGUGAAACCUGUAGACCUGUUAGGAGUAGUGUUGAUGCUCCACAACACGGAGGGUAACUCCUCCACCCAACAACCCGGCGUCCGUUGUAAAGGGACCAAAAGCCGGGGUUUGAUGCCUUUCAGAAUCUCCUGAUUAGCCCUCUCAGCUUGACCAUUGGACUGAGGGUGAGCCACUGAUGAAACAUCAAGUCUAAUAUGCUCUCGUUGACAAAACUCCUCCAUGGCGCCUUUGGAUAAAUUGGUACCAUUGUCAGUUAUAAUGCUGUGUGGAAAGCCAAAGCGAAAGAUCACCUUUUUCAUAAACUGAACUGCCGUGGUUGCAUCACACUUGCUAACUGGCUCCGCUUCAACCCACUUGGUAAAUUUGUCAACUGCCACCAAGAGGUGGGUCUUCUUAUCCUUGGACCUUUUAAAAGGCCCAACCAUAUCAAGCCCCCAGACCGCAAAGGGCCAAGUAAUUGGGAUCAUCCUCAGCUCCUGAGCCGGCACAUGAGCCCGUCGCGAGAACCUUUGGCAACCAUCACAUUUACUGACCAAGUCCUCCGCAUCAGCAUGAGCCGUCAGCCAAUAAAAACCAUGACGAAAAGCCUUGGCCACAAGAGACUUUGAGCCGGCGUGAUGGCCACAAUCCCCUUCAUGAAUCUCACGCAAGAUCUCUUGACCUUCCUCAGGGGAGACACAACGCUGGAACACUCCCGUAACACUGCGGCGAUGCAACUCACCAUUAAUAACAAUCAUUGACUUAGACCGCCGGGUUAUUUGUCUGGCCAAAGUUUCAUCCUCAGGCAAAUCUCCCCGGGUCAUGUAAGCCAGAUAGGGCAUUGCCCAGUCCGGUAUGAUGUGGAGAGCCGCCACCAGUCGUGCCACCGGGUCAGGGACAACCAAGUCUUCCUCUGUAGGCAACUUAACAGAAGGGUUAUGCAGGACGUCCAGGAAAACAUUAGGCGGCACCGGUUUUCGCUGAGAACCCAGCCGGCUUAAAGCAUCAGCCGCCUCGUUCUUCCUGCGAUCGAUGUGCUCUACUUGGUAACCCUGAAAGUGCCCAGCAAUGGCAUCAACUUCGCGGCGAUAAGCCGCCAUGAGAGGGUCCUUGGAGUCCCACUUUCCUGAUACUUGUUGAGCCACCAAGUCUGAGUCGCCGAAGCACCUUACCCGGCUCAAGCUCAUCUCCUUAGCCAUCCGAAGACCGUGGAGCAAGGCCUCGUACUCAGCUGCGUUAUUGGUACAAGGAAACAUCAAUUGUAGCACAUAAUGGAACUUAUCACCCUUAGGGGAAGCCAAUACGACUCCAGCCCCCGAGCCCUCCAACUGCCUGGACCCAUCAAAGUGAAUAGUCCAAUAUGUGUUAUCCGGCUUUUGUUCGGGCACUUGUAGCUCUAUCCAAUCAUUGAUGAAAUCCACCAAAGCCUGAGAUUUAACAGCAGUGCGUGGCACAUACUUCAGACCAUGAGGUCCGAGCUCUAUAGCCCACUUAGCCACUCUCCCUGUGGCCUCCCUGUUCUGAAUGAUAUCUCCAAGGGGGGCAGAACUGACCACAGUGAUGGGGUGACCCUGGAAAUAAUGCUUAAGCUUCCGGCUUUCCAUGAACACACCAUAAACAAGUUUCUGCCAAUGCGGAUACCGCUGCUUGGACUCAAUGAGUACUUCGCUGACAUAAUAAACCGGCCUCUGAACCGGAUGCUCCUUACCCUCUUCCUUGCGCUCCACCACCACGGCCACACUGACGGCUCGGGUGUUAGCAGCCACAUACAGCAAUAAAGGCUCCUUGUCAACCGGAGCAGCAAGGACUGGGGGCUUGGCCAGCUGUCUCUUUAAAUCCUCAAAAGCAGUAUUAGCUGCAUCAUUCCAGACAAAGUCAUCAGUUUUCUUCAUCAACUGAUACAACGGCAUGGCCUUCUCACCCAAACGGCUUAUGAACCGGCUUAAAGCAGCGAUACGACCCGCCAAGCGCUGGACGUCGUUUAUACACGCCGGCUUAGCCAGGGAGGUGAUGGCCUUGAUCUUCUCCGGGUUAGCUUCAAUGCCUCUGUUAGAAACCAAGAAACCCAAGAGCUUGCCUGCAGGAACACCAAAAACACAUUUGGCCGGGUUAAGCAUCAUCUUGUAGACCCGGAGAUUAUCAAAGGUUUCCCUUAGAUCAUCUAUCAAGGUUUCCUCCUUCCUGGAUUUAACCACAAUAUCAUCCACAUAAGCAUGAACAUUGCGCCCAAUCUGGUUAUGAAGACAGUUCUGCACGCAACGCUGAUAAGUCGCCUGUGCACUCUUGAGUCCAAAGGGCAUAGACACAUAGCAGAAGGCUCCAAAGGGAGUGAUGAACGCCGUCUUCUCCUGGUCCUUAACUGCCAUUUUAAUCUGAUGAUAUCCAGAAUAAGCAUCCAAGAAACUUAGGCGCUCACAACCCGCCGUAGCAUCAAUGAUUUGAUCAAUACGGGGAAGGGCGAAAGGAUCAGCCGGACACGCCUUGUUCAAGUCCGUGUAGUCCACACACAUCCGCCAGGUGCCGUUCUUCUUGAGUACGAGCACCGGGUUAGCUAACCAUUCUGGGUGAAAGACUUCAACGAUAAACCCAGCCGCCAAGAGCCGGGCCACCUCUUCACCAAUAGCUUUCCGCCUCUCUUCAUUAAACCGCCGAAGGAACUGCCUGACCGGCUUAAAUUUCGGAUCAACAUUGAGAGUGUGCUCAGCGAGUUCUCUAGGUACACCUGGCAUGUCAGACGGCUUCCAUGCAAAAAUGUCCCUAUUCUCACGGAUGAACUCGAUGAGCGCGCUUUCCUAUUUUGGAUCCAGAUUGGCACUGAUGCUAAACUGCUGAGAUGAAUCUCCUGGAACGAAAUCAACAAGUUUAGUCUCAUCAGCCGACUUAAAUUUCAUUGCCGGCUCAUGCUCCGUAGUCGGCUUUUUCAGAGAGGUCAUAUCUGUCGGGUCAACGUUGUCUUUGUAAAACUUCAACUCCUCUGUUGCGCAAACAGAUUCUGCAUAAGCUACAUCGCCUUCCUCACACUCCAGGGCCACCUUCCGGCUGCCGUGAACCGUAAUGGUCCCAUUAUGACCCGACAUCUUGAGCUGUAAAUACACGUAACACGGCUGUGCCAUGAACUUGGCGUAAGACGGCCGCCCAAAUAUGGCAUGGUACGGACUUCUUAUCUUGACCACCUCAAAGGUCAAUUUUUCCACCCUGUAGUUGUGGUCAUCUCCAAAGGCCACUUCCAACUCGAUCUUGCCGACUGGAUAAGCCGACUUACCAGGUACCACACCAUGGAAAAUAGUGUUUGACUGGCUGAGGUUCUUAUCAAUCAACCCCAUACGACGGAACGUCUCAUAAUAGAGGAUGUUGAUGCUGCUGCCUCCAUCCAUGAGCACCUUAGUGAACUUAUAUCCUCCCACCUGAGGAGCCACCACCAAGGCCAAGUGACCCGGAUUAUCCAUCCGGGGAGGGUGAUCCUCCCUACUCCACACUAUAGGCUGCUCAGACCACCGCAAGUAGCGUGGAACCGCCGGCUCAACAGCAUUCACAGCCCUCUUAUGAAGCUUCUGAUCUCGCUUACACAGACUGGUGGUAAACACAUGAUACUGUCCACCGCUAAGCUGCUUUGGAUUGGUCUGAUAACCCCCCUGCUGCUGUUGAUGACCCUGGCCAGACUGCUGAUUAAAGCCCCCUUGACCGUUCUGAGGAUUAGAAUUUGAGCCGCCGCCCGGGCCAUGAAAGCCGCCGGCGCCUGAGCCACCGCCCGGGCUAUUGUUGCCGUUAAAGGCGUUGGAAUUCUUAAAGGCCUUCAUGAUUGCACAAUCCUUCCAUAGAUGAGUAGCUGGCUUCUCUCUAGAGCCAUGCCUUGGACAAGGCUCAUUCAACAGCUGCUCCAGCGUCGGGCCUGACUCGCCGGCUCGGGGAGGGGGCCUCCCCUUGCGUCGCUGGUUAUUACCCUGUGAGCUGGCGUUGGCUACGAAUUCUAGGCUGCCAUCGGCCUUGCGCUUGCCACCUCCUUGGUUCCCCGGGUUAUGCUGAGGACCCUUGCCAUUGCCGUUCUUCUUUCCCUUCCCUGUCCUUUCAUCAUCUGAAGCGGGGUCCUUGGUACUAUCAGAAUCGGCGUACUUGACGAGAGCCGCCAUCAGUGUACCCAUAUCACUGCAGUCGCGCUUAAGCCGCCCGAGUUUCAUCUUCAGGGGCACGAAACGACAAUUCUGUUCCAACAUUAAGACUGCAGAGCCGGCAUCCAUCUUAUCAGAGGAAUGUAUUAUCUCCUUAACCCGGCGAACCCAAUGUGUCGUAGACUCACCCUCCUGCUGCUUACAGUUAGUCAAAUCCACAAUUGACAUAGACUGCCUACAGGUAUCCUUGAAGUUUUGGAUGAAUCGGGCUUUCAGCUCAGCCCAAGACCCGAUGGAAUUCGGUGGUAGCCCUUUCAACCAAGUGCGGGCAGUCCCAUCUAACAUCAUGGUGAAGUACUUGGCCAUUGCCGCUUCACUGACUUCCAGCAGUUCCAUGGCCAUCUCGUAACUCUCGAUCCAGGCUGCGGGUUGUAAGUCAGCCGUGUAAUUAGGCACCUUCCUAGGGCCUUUGAAGUCCUUGGGUAGACGUUCAUUGCGGAGAGCUGGCACUAAGCAAGGGACACCUCCAGUCCUGGUAGGGAUAUCCACGUCGACGGAAGUCGUCGGAUAAGCCGGGGGAGUCUGGUAAGCCGUCAACUGAGGCACCUGCUCCGCCUCUUGCCGCGCUCUGUCUUGGUCUGCUGCGUGAAAGGCUCCGUUAUGAACCGGGCCAUGGCCAGGGGGCGGGUCAUGGCGUCGGACAUUACUUGAGCCGGUCGCUGAGACCAUGUGUCUGCUAUAACUCGGGCUCCGGCCUGGACGAGGGGUCGAGUGGAUCCUGUCCCGGCUGUAAGAGUAUGCCUCUUGCUGCGCCAGUGCUGUCUGAAGGAGUUCCCUGACCCGGAGGGUUUCAAUAGCCGUCGGAGAGUCGCCAUCAAUUGGGAGGGCCGCCAGCCGUGCUGCUGCGGCAACCAUGUUCUCCAGCGGGUUAGCAUAAUGACCCGGUGGUAUUGGCACAUACUGAGGCGGGGCAGGGUUCACCCGGGGAGGCCCCAUCACUUGUGGCUGAACAGGGGUCCCCGACCCGGGCACUAUGAUCCCUGGCGGGUUACUAGACCCUGCACCUGGCGUGUUGAAGAGGUUUCGAGGAUCGUAAACCGGAGGGAGUCGAGAUUGGGCUUUUUGAUGCCUCCUUCUCAUGACCUCAUUGGACGCAUUUUGAUCCAUCGUGAGCCGGAAGGACUGCGCCUGAAUCAACUGGGUUUGGGCGUCGAGAGCCGCCCUCUCCGCAGCCAUCCUAAUCCCUUCCGCUGCCAGAUCCUCUUUGGCUUUCCCUAGAUCUAACUUUAACUGCGCCACCUCUGCGUCAUGCUGAGCUUGAUCCGCUGGGUCAACCGCGGCGGUCAACAGGGCCGUCAUCUUGUCCGUGAGAUCCAUCAGCACCUGAGCCGGCGAGGGCACCGGGUUUCGUGCCCCAGCAGCAGGGUUCUGAACAGGCUGCGCACCAGCCAUGAAGAUUCCGACCCGGCUCGGCGGCUCAAACGGGUCCGGAAUACUGUCACCAUCGGGACAACUCAUGAGCCUACCAUCUUGAAGUUGAUACAACGAGUUUGACUCAUCUGUGGACGACUCGCCGUCAGAGCGGGCGGCCGUCUCAUCACUAGAUCCAGACCUGUCAGAGUGCCCUCCAUGAACACAUCCCACAAAAGUAUGCCUCAAGGCAGGCAGGGCCCGGGCGGGUUGUGCGCGCUGAGCCGUCUCGAUGAGAUCGGCGCAGAGAUCCGGCUCAGGGCCCGGCUCACCAAUCUUGCCAAUGAAAACAUGAAUUCCGCCGAAGGGGACCCGGUAUCCGCACUCGAUUGAGCCGGCGUCGGGGCCCCAGCUUGCAUCGUCGAUGUAGAGCUUGCCGCGACGACUCUUGGUCAUCCGGCCCACAGCGUAUCCCUUGAGCCCUUCGAAGCUGCCCUUCAAGAACUCAAAUCCACCGUGCGCUGGCCCCACGGUGGGCGCCAACUGUCGUGGAAUUGUCACGGCAGAUGUCCUCAAGCUAGGACUUAGUCGUGGAGCCAUCGCCGCUAGGAAGCUUGAAGGGGUUAACGGAACAAGGAACACGAGGGUUUAUACUGGUUCGGCCCCUUACGGUGAAGGUAAAAGCCUACGUCCAGUUGAGGUGGUAUUGAUUAGGGUUUCGAUGACCAGGGAGCUUAACUGCUAUGCCUGGCUCUCGAUGAGAUCUUUCUUGUCCCUAAACCGCUGCCGUGUCGUCCCUUUAUAUAGAGAGGUUGACGCCCAGCGGCUCUCAGAGUCCCGGCCGGCUUACGGCGGUUUAUCACUACGGGCCUUAAACCAUCUCCGUGUCUUAAGCCCAUCUUUGGCCCACCGUCUUCAGGCUUAGCACCCGGCUUCAAGUGAUGACCCUUAUGAGUAACCCGGCCCCUUCUGGCGGGUGACUCUAAGGUUUAUAUCCUCAACAGGUUCUACCUGUGAUGAUGUUUGAUACUUCUGCCAAAUUUUGUUUUAUUGCUUCUGACAAUCUGUACUUCUGCGACUGGAUUAGAUACAUACUACCUCCGUACUGGCUGCACAAAUGUGAAGUCAUCAUUUCUAGUUGUAUAUAAAUCUGAGCGAAACCUUUCUGUCUAAAAUCUUAGAGAGUUCUCACAAAGUUUCAUAAACAACUGAGAGCCUGCUUAAAAGAUGAAAUUUCACAAGAAUUGGUUCAUUGCCCUCAGCGUUAGAACUGUUUGACACAACUGAAAAGGGCAAAAAAUCAGGCACCCACAGACACCUCAUCUCCUAGUUGCUUCGAUAGCAUAGGUUGGGCGAUAAGUUCAUCCAAAAGCUUGAAGUUGUGCUCAUCUCAGUUGUUUGUCAGUGCCUUCAUAUUCGGCUUGUUUCUAGUCCGCGGGCGAAACAAGACGAUGAAGAGCCAGAACAAGGUCCAGUAUGUAACCUUCGGCCCUCUCCUUGUCGGCGUAGUAGAGCGUCUCUACCUUGCUCACUUUGGCAUCUGCAUGGGCGAGCAUGUAACUGACACUGAUCCGACUUUCUUGUUCGAGCCAGUUUGCUUCGUUGACAUCGAUACCCUCAAUCCUGAUACAGCGAAUUAAGUCAUGGGAGCCUGAUAGGACAUUGCAGUUUAUGUAUCUAUUUGCAUGAGAAAAAGGUAGAAACAAGACGAGCAGGCGAUUAUACGCUACAUACCCUUUCAUCUCCCAUUCUCCGAAUACCCCAUUCACGUGGUACCGCCUGGUAUUCAUCAAGAAGGCAACAGAGUGAACCGAGAGUAUAUCAUUAAGAAAAAGAUAUCCACAUCUAGCUAUCUGUGCAGUACUAUUAAAAGUAGUGGUGUUUUGUUAACUUGCAGGAAGUACCUGGUGGAUUCCGCAGCUGGCACAAGCCAUCGCAAUACUCUGUUCAUUUCAGCUCUCACCGCUGCUCGCGUCAUGGUCUGCAAGAUGCAGAUGCAACCGAGAUGACAAGGGAUGGAUUCACUAUUUUAUACAGGUUAUGUUUGCUUAAAAGGGUGUUGGACUUACCUGAUCUUUGUCCGGAAUACGCAGCUGGGUGCGCAGAACUGGCUUAAUCCCAGGAGGCAGUGCUUGGUAUAAUGCCUCCCCCGCAUUUUGAGGAACCGCCGGUGAUGCCAAUGCCUGACAGUGGGAUAUGUAGUCAUUAACACAUAACAAGAGUCUAUGAUUGGUUGGGGAGAGGGUUACAUCACAUCUGGAUUUGGAAUGCUAAGCUCUUCAUGUGACAACUUUUCCAGGAUGCAAUUUCUGUGUGUGUUUUCUUUACAGUGACAAAAGCUUUGCCAAAUUUUACUGAAUAAGGAGUUUAUGAAUAAUGUGGAAUCAGUUCAUCAUAUGUUCUUUGGUUGUGGGGCGGUGAAAGUGGUUUGGGGAGUUGAACUUCAUGUACCCUAAUCCUUUGUGGCAACAAUUUCUCGGAUGCAUGCUUAGAUUUUACACAGCUGCUUUGGAAAAGGAGCAGAAUCUGUUUUGAAACUUCUGUUGUAGGAUCCUUAGUUUCGAUGUUCAAGUUGGUGUCACAAUUACUGCCAUAUAAUAAACUUCUGUUGUGAUUUUCAACUUUAUAUAAUACUACUGAGUUGCACGUGCUUUGCACGUGAGUUGUGAGAUAUCGUUACAACACAAUGUUGACAUACAACUGACACUUACAUAUUACGUCACUGAAAAAAGGAAAACCUUAGCUGCAUAGUGUUCCAAUAUAUAGCGCAUUACAUGUAUGGACCUUAAGGUUAAAUUCAUGAAUAUGCAAAGAUAGUGUUGUGGCAUUUCGUUGAAAUUCUCUGAAAAGAUAUAUGGACUGUAAGAAAUAGUUCAUGAGAAGUCUUUCACUAUGAGUAAAAGUUCACAAAUAAUCUCAUAAAUGGAUACACUUUUAUUCAAGCGAGAACUCUAAUGGAGCAAGAGCAUAGACAGAAGAUUCUAGACCAAAUCAUAAAUGAAAACUCUAAUGGAGCAAGAUCAUGCAUGGUAGGUUCUAGCAUAAAUGAGAAGGGUGUAAAGAUAGUAUAUGUGACAUGUACAAGGGUGGACUAAGUUUUUAAUUAUUGGAAACUUCUAGAAAGUACACAUGGCGGAAUCUGAUGUAAUUGAUAAGAAAUCAAAUGGUCAGCAACGCUCGGAUUUGCCACCUCUUGACCGUCGGAUUAAGUUCAUCCAACGAUCCAUAUUCAAACUUAUUCACACACUAUAUAGUGGUACAGAUAAGCAUGUGGUUUCCUUAAAAAGAAAACUGCUAUAUAACUUGAUGUUGGCGGAGGCAUACCAAAGCUUUUAGCUGCAGAAUGACAUCAGCAUAAUGCAACGCAAGUCCAGUAGCCCCUAACGUUUUCAUGAGGUUGAUAGCUAUGUGAAGUUCUCCAGAUGAUUGCUUUGCAUCUGCAUGGCUCUUCCAGAAAGCUUCGUUGAUUUGAAGGCGCAUGAAGUCUACAAUCUCCACAAGUUUCUCCACAAUCUGCAAUAAGACAACAUGGAUCAUUGGUAAUUCCAUGACUUGACUUAGAUUGAAGAAACACUAAUAGUAAGUAAUCAGGGGUUAUUACAUCGUCCAUACUCUUUGACCAAAGCGAUUUGCAUUUUAAGACCUUCACCGCACCCCUUUGGUUCUUGAUAGCAUCAAUUUGUUUCCUAACAGGAAUAGCCGCUACAUCUGCAUAUAGUUGUUGUAUAAUUAGAGAGGAGAAGAGACUCAUUGAAUGCAAGUGACGAACUAGCUAGUUUGUAGUACAAUAAGCGUGCUCAAGUCUGUCCAGUGCUAGCAUUUCUUCAUGUAGAACCUGAACAAAUGGAAAAUGGAAUCUCAGUGUUUUGUCAGAUGAAAACAUCUCUCCACAAGGAUGUAACGACUGUGCAAAAAAAAAAAAAAAGAGUAUAUACUAACCCGCGUGUGUUGUGCUAAUCUUAUUAGAUACUUCAUACUGGGAGGUACCUCUUCACUGGAGUUCUUAGAUGGCAGUGGAGAAUCAGCUCUGUUCAUUGGCAAGAGCAAUGUAUGUAGAAGCAACAAAUAAAGAUGAGGCAUGGUGAAGACAUGGACUCCACAGUGAAUUAAGUGGCAACCGCGAUAAGUUUUACCUUGAGAAAUAUCUACUGAGAUCGUGCCAUUGACGAUCUUCACACAGAUCUCCAAACCUGGCAACCUCUAUCGAAAAUCGUCUCAAGUCCUCUCUGCAUAAUUCCAACCAAAUUCAUGUAAGGUUUUUCAACAAAUAUAAACUGCUAAACAAACAGGUCCAGCAAAUUAUGUUACCGUAUGUCGUCUUCAAUGAGAAUGGACAACUGACUGUAAUCUUCCGAAAUAAGACGGCAAACACCUUCAGACCUUAGCACACCCUCUUUCAGAUGCCUUAUUCUUUGUUUAGAGAAGGAUUUUUAUCAGAUUGGAGGCCUUGACAAUUGUGUUGGCAAUCUCGAAAGCGUGGAUCGAUAUCUUUCUUCCUUUGGGAGCAGAGCGGAAAACAGCGCUCAUAUUUGUAGAACUUGGGGAGAAUGAUCUACUUAUCAUUCUGUUCAAUUUUGCUGCUAAAUUGUUGGAAUUCACAUCGCCACACCCUGCGAAUGCGUCUAUUUCUGAUUCCUGUAAGAUUAGAGGAGGCCAUGAACUUAUUAUAUCGAGCACUUUUGUUUUAGACUAGUAAAUUACCAUGCAAUGCUCUUCCCUGCAAAAGGAAUUAAAAAAAUGCAAUGCUCGACUACUGAAUUAAGAUAACUCUUAAAGGAGCAUUAUUGUGAGACGGGCUAUAGCUCAGCAAAGUUUACCCGUAUGGGCUGUUCUGAUUUUUGUGCUUUGCACCUCUGUAAUCUAAAACUAUUUUCUUCCUUGAUUAAAUACAUGAAGCAGUGCUACUGCAAAUUCUUUCGAGGGAGAUUUUUUUUUUUGACGAGGUCUUUUAAGUGACCCGUAUAGGCUGUUCAUGGGCCAUAUGAAAUUUUCUUCCAGGAAUAAAAUCAGUAAUUCAAGAGGAAAGAAAGCAUGUACACAUAACAAAUUAGAGGAUCCUCAAAAUAAAAUUCUCUCAAAAACAAAUAUGCCUAGCAUUAAGAAAACAAGGGAUUAAAUGGACCAUACUAGCCUUUGGAUAGUACUUGAUGACCUAUUACGCAUUUGAGGUAAUAUGUGUAUCAAAUGUUGGAUAAACAAAAGGACGGUCCACAACAAUUUGGGAGCACUUUAGAUUCUUAGAAGAAUAAUUUCAACAGAUAUCCAGUUGACCAUUCUUAUAAAACAACACAUAAAUAUUAUUUAAAAAGCUCCAUGAACGGAAUAGUUAGAUAAUCCAGUUGGCAAAUUCUUAAGAGUUCGAUUUCCCUUUCCUGUAGUACAAUGAAGAUCUUUUCUAAAGAACUUACCAUAAGAAAGGAUGGCAUAUCAACUUUUUAUUGAAGCAAUAAAAUUAGUUUUUUUUAUAUUGAUGUAUGUAGAUCUCUAUGGCACAACUGUCAAUGGAGUGCUAGCUUGAGGAUGUGUUUACUUCAUAUGGAUGGCAUUUUAGUCUUGAUUGGUCCUCCAGCAACCUUAGGAUGUUUAUUCCUUUUGUAAUGCUAUGUCAGUCAAUUUUUUUUUCUAGUUUGGACGCUUGCUUGCUUGAGCUAUCCCUCUUUAUUCUAAGAAACUGACUCCAAAUGCCCCUUGAAAUUGCAUUAAUUGUGUCAAAAUUAAUGUACGGAAAUUUAAUAUUUCAAUUUAUUUUUUGUACUUCAACAACAUUUGAUCUUCAUAACUCUAUGUGUAAAAAUACAAAUUUUAUGUAAAAAUAUUUCGGAAUAACCUGACUAAAAAUAUCAAAUAAUAUCUGCAGCAAAGCGCAGGGAUUUACACUUAGUUUGUAUCAAUUUAACUCUAUGAUGUGGUAUCGUCGCAAUGUGAUGUUUGGAGUUAAUAAAAUACCCUUCAUUGAAAAUAAAAAACUACUCCCUCCGAUCUAAAUUAAGUGUCGCGGUUUUGAACUAAUGUCAGUUUAACCUUAGUUCAGGGUUUAGGGUUUAAUUUAACCUUAGUUCAAAACUGGGACACUUAGUUUGGAUCAGAGGGAGUAGCAUAACAUGUACCAAUGCACGCCAUUACUUAUCAUACCUGGCCCACUGCUGGCACAUCAUUCAUGUCAAAACAAAAAUUUGUGCCAUCCAAUUCAUUCAGCGUUUGUAAGAUAUCCGAUGCAGAGGGCCUUUUACUGGGAUCAGGAUUAAGACAAUUUAGUCCUAAUACGAUGCAUCUAUUUACUUGCUCGGAACAUGUUUCCAAUGCUCUAUAACUUAGUGUUUUUUCCAAUCUGUGCCUCCAAUUUGCAACCACCUACAAACUUGCCACAAUAAUUUAGUAUAUCAUGAAAAUGAAAAUGUUGGAUUUAUUCAUCUUACUUUUUUUGUGGGGAUGGAUUUAUUCAGCUUACAUUCUCGAUGAAGUCCUCAAACGGUGUUUCACUACUCUCAGGAUAUUUCCUAUGUCCCGUCAUUAACUCUAUGACUAUAAUGCCUAAACUGAAUAUAUCUGACUUUGUUGUGAUUAAUCCAUUUAUUAUGUACUCAGGGAGCCAUGUAUCCACUGCAGAAAAACAAUUGUACAUUUUUAUAUACUAGAUCAAUGAAAAGCAUUGAAUUUCUGAGGAGGAAUAGCUUACAAUGUACCCCCACGACUUUCGGUGAUAACUCGAGACUGUUGUUUGCCAAAGAGCCUAGACAUACCAAAAUCUACAAGCUUGGGCAUCAUAUGAUCAUCCAACAAUAUAUUUUGGGGUUUAAGGUCCAAAUGAAUAAUGCGGCACUCAUCAUGAAGGUAACGCAAACCGCUGCAAACUCCCCUAAUUAUAUCAUAUCUUAUGUGCCACUCAAGUCCACAAGAUUCAGCUGUAGAAAUAGAACAAAAGAACCACUAUAUGCAUAAAGAACCAAUAUAUGUAUAUUGUAUCAUCCAACUUAAUUUAUGCCAAAAUAAUGAAGUAUAAAGAAAAACAAGAUCUGGCUACAGCACAACAUACCAGAGAGAUGCUUAUCAAGGCUGUUAUUUUCUAGAUACUCGAAGCAGAGUAGUCUUGUCCGCGUUUCAGCCAUGACAUAUUUCUCUCCUACUUGCGUCGCUUCCCACCGUGAUUCAGCGCAGUAGCCUACAAGUUGUACUAUAUUUUGGUGCUUAACCCCGAUAAGAUAGGUGACCUCAUUCUGGAAUUGAUCAUCUUCUAGUUGCAUUUCAAAAAGUUUCUUCACAGCAAUCUGUCACAUCCCUAGCUUCUGACAUUGCACUAGGCUAACUUCAUGUGUGCAUCAUGUUUAAACUUUGAAAGAAACUUGAAAUGGGGAUUGCCUAAACCCCAGCAUUAAAGGAAUUCGCUAGGUUCAACCAAAAUAUUUCCAGUAAAUCCAAAUGGCUUUCAAAAAUGUUCAUCAUUCUUGGAAAAUGCUGGAAACAGUAACCAGAGGUGAUGCACAUCUUUCCAUGACAUAUUUGGGCUCUGGAUUAAAUCAUACUCUAUUUGCAUUUGGGCAUUCAAAUGCUAUUAAAUAUUUUAAAUGCUCAAAUAAUCAUACACUAAAAUGUUUACUGUAGGAUAUAUUCCCAACAGUGAUCAUGAGUAGUUUCUUGAUUUUUGAAAGUGUCUAAGUAUUUUUAAUAAAGCCCUAAAGACUACAGAAUAUUAGAAAACAGAAACAAAUAAAAAAAAGAGAGAGAAAGGAAACCUACCUGGCCUCACCUGUCGCAGCCCAGCUGGCCAGCCCACCUAGCCGGCCCAGCCCAGCACCGCUGCCAGUCAUCUCCCACCUCUCGCCAGUAGGACGAGAGGCGUGUGGCCGCCGUGCACGCUGGCCACGUGCCGUGCCACCUCCUGCUUCCGCCGCUUCUGGAGCCAGCCCCGAGUGCCACACACUCCCCCUCGCCCCCUGCGCCUCUCCUCUCUCCCCCCUGGACCCCAACCCCUUCUCUGCUUCCCUCUUGCGCGCACCACCAAACGGAGCCGUCGCCACCGUCGCCGUUCGUCGUGGCCACCGAGCCCCCCCUCGCCUAGCUAGGAUGUCCAGCAGCACCGCCAUCGUCUCCUACGUCUCCUCGACGAAGGAAGCAAGCCCCGACGCCCGAAAGCGUCGCCAUCGAGCUCGUCCCCGCCGCCUCUGGCCGGAGAUCGCCGGCGUCGAUCCGCCUCGUCCAAACCGUCCCCGAGGCCACUGAACUACCCUACGGAAUCACUGUGAGCCCCUGAACCGUUUCCCCCUACUCCCGUACUCGAUUUCGAGCUCUAGCUAGACUAGCCACCGUGCCCGAAGCUCGCCGCCGCAUGAGCUCGUCGCCGCCGUGGCUCCGACGACCAAAUGGCCCCGCGCGUGCGUCCGUUGCACUCGCGACGUCCCGUAGAGCAACGCUAGCGCGAUAGCCAGUUUGUUUGCAAGCCGCAGCGCUAACCCCGCACCCACCCGAACUCCGGCGGCCGCAAAAGAGCUCGCCGCCGUCGACUCCGGUCACCACAGGCCCAGCCACCACCACCAUUCGACGCGCACCGGCAAGGGCUCUCCAACGCGCCCAGCCAUGGCUCGAACCGUGCCUCGUAGCGCGAUCCCGAGUACCAGCUUCGCCUCUGGCCUCGCCGGCGAUUAGCCGCCGGCCUAAUCCCGGCGCUUAGCGCUAAUGACACCUGGUUAAACCCCCCUAUCUCACUGACACCUGGGGCCCACACCCUAAUUAAACCGGGGUUUACUUUUGUUUAGUUUAAACUAACCUCGCGGGUCCCACAGGUCAGGUUGACCUGGCCACGUCAGCGUUGACCUGGACCCACUGGUCAGCCUCUGUUCCUGCCUUGUCACACUGACAUACGGGACCCACGCGUCAGGUUUGACCUGGACCGUGGCCCGUUGACCUGCUGACGUCAGCAUGAUGUCAUGCUGACGCAGUAUUGGUUUUCUGGAUUUAAAAUAAUUCAGAAAAUUCCAGAAAAUAGUAUAAACUUCUAAAAAUCAUAUAAAAUCAACCGUAGCUCAGAAUGAAAUAAUUUAUAUAUGAAAAAUUAUCAGAAAAAUGCAAUCUAUCCAUCUGUAUCAUUUUCAUGCAUGUCAAACUAAGUUAUACCUGCUGUAUAGGUGAAAACAUGAUAAUGACAUUAUAAAUGCUAAAUAUGGAGUUUGCAUAUGAACCCUUAGUUCAUAUGGACCUCAUUUAAACUGUUGCUAGAUGCAUUAGUGUAAAUCAUAACAUUCUUGACAUGUCAUGACCAUGCAUCAUAUUGUCGCAUUGCAUUGAUUGUGUCCUUCUUUGUUUGCCGGUAACCGUCCCCUCUCAGUAGCCGAUGCUCCGAUGACGUGAUCGAUGACACCGAUGAAGAACUAUAAUAUCUUCAGAAGUGCCAGGCAAGCAAAACCCCCUUGUCCAUUCCGAUACAAACCCACUCUCUCGCUCCUGCUCUCUUUUACUGCAUUAGGACAACAACGAUUCAUGUGUUACCUGCUGCGGUAGUUGAACCCCUUAUCCUCUGCAUGACCUGUCAUUGCCACAGUAAAUAGAUGAAACCCACUAGCAUGAGUAGGAGUUGUUUGAGCCCUGAUGUGCCUACUCAUUCAUGCUUGUUUGUCAUGCCUGCUAUUGCUUAGAGUUGUGUCAGGUCUGAUUCAUCGGGGAUGAGUUGGAAUGGUGAUGAACAUGUCCUACUGUGUGUGAGCUAAGUGUGUGAACACGAUUUGGUAAAGGUAGCGGUGAGAGGCCAUGUAGGAGUACAUGGUGGGUUGUCUCAUUGAAGCCGUCCUCAGGAACUGAGUUCUGUGUUUGUGAUCCAUGAUACAGUUACUACCACGCAUUGGGCCCGAAACCAAUGGACCCUCUCGGCUUCUUAAUCACCCUUGUCCUCUGUCCAGGAGUUGCAAGUAGUUUCUGGUGUUUGUAGUAUGCUGGAGGCCGUGGGCAGCGCUGAAGCCGUCCUCAGGAACUGAGUUCUGUGUUUGUGAUCCAUGAUACAGUUACUACCACGCAUUGGGCCCGAAACCAAUGGACCCUCUCGGCUUCUUAAUCACCCUUGUCCUCUGUCCAGGAGUUGCAAGUAGUUUCUGGUGUUUGUAGUAUGCUGGAGGCCGUGGGCAGCGCUGACCCGAGGGGUGGGCUGUGAUGCGGUAGGCACGUGGCCGGGCAUGCCGGGCGCCCGUUUGGUGUCGCGGAACCCUGUACACAUCGUUCGGGGCCGUAUGUGGAAACCUCGGCCGGACUCCCUGCGGAUGGAACCUGAAUAGGCGAUAAACCUGGACUAGAGACUUGAGCGUUUAGGUAGGCUGUGGCCGACACCCUCGCUGGGCUUCCGCUUGAAGGUUGCCGAGUACAUGUCGUGUAAACGGCGGUAAGUGGUGAGAGCGUGUGUGACGAAGUACACCCCUGCAGGGUUGAUAUGAUCUAUUCGAAUAGCCGUGUCCGCGGUAAAGGACUUCUGGGUUGCCUAUAACAGUUCAUAGACAAGUGAAAGUGGAUACUCUAAAAUGUGCAAGAUAAGCGUGAGUGCUAUGGAUGGCGUUCUCGUAGGGAGACGGGAGCGGAUCCAUAGUGGAGUAUUGAUAUGGUGAAUAUGUGGACUCGUGUGCGCCACCUCAAAAGAGUUACUUGCAGUCGUAGUUAGGAUAGCCACCGAGUCAAAGCUGGCUUGCUGCAGUUAAACUCCACCACCCCCUUUGUUGAUACCGAUGCAUAUGUAGAUAGUUCUGAUGUAAGUCUUGCUGGGUACAUUUGUACUCACGUUUGCUUAUUUUAUGUUUUGCAGAGAGACGUCAGUCUCGCUAGUAGUUCCGUGUGGACUUCGACGUUUAGCUUGAUACCUCAGCUACGAUCUUGUGCCCUCGGCAGGAUCUGGUAGAUAGUCAGGCUUCUCAGCCUUUUUCAUUUGUAGAUGUCUGUACUCAGACAUGUUAAGCUUCCGCAUGUGUUUGACUUGUAUGCUCUGAAUGUUGGGUCAUGAGACCUAUGUUUGUAAUAUCUCGCUCCUCGGAGCCUAAUGAAUAAAUACUUGAGUCGUGGAGUUAUGUUGUGAUGCCAUGUUGUAUUUACACAUAUCGAGCAUAUUGUGUGUAUGAUUGAAAUGCUUGGUAUGUGUGGGAUCCGACAAUCUAGUUGUUUAUCCUUGGUAGCCUCUCUUAUGGGGAAAUGUAGUCUUGUGCUUCCAUGAGCCAUAGUAGUCCGCUACAGCCCGGUUCACCGGAGUCCUGCUAGCCCAGCACUACUGCUCCGGGACACUUGACUGGCCGGCAUGUGAUUCACGUCGUUCCUGUGUCUGUCCCUUCGGGGAAAUGUCACGCGGUGACAUCUGGAGUCCUGCCUGGCCUGCUACAGCCCGGGUUCCCGGAGUCCUGUUAGCCCAGUGCUACAGCCCGGAUUCACACGUUGCUGACCGACAUGCUCGAUGUUGAUUCAUGUAUGCCUGUCCCCGUAAGUUAGUGCCGCUUUGGGUUCACGACUAGCCAUGUCGGCCCGGGUUCUCUGUCAUAUGGAUGCUAGUGACACUAUCAUAUACGUGAGCCAAAAGGCGCAAACGGUCCCGGGCCAUGGUAAGGCGACACCCGUGGGAAUGCCGUGCGUGAGGCCGCAAAGUGAUAUGAGGUGCUACAGGCUAGAUCGGUGUGACUUAGAAUCGGGGUCCUGACAGCGUUGGUAUCAGAGCCUGACUGCCUGUAGGAUUACCAAGCCAAACUGGUCGAAGUUGAGUCUAUAAAUGCUUUAGUUAUAUAAGGGAAUUGAUUGUGGAAGGGAACGUAAGGCUCUUUUUACUCCUUUACCUUAUGCCCUUCUGAUCUGAGUCACCCUCUUCUCUUCUACGGGGAUUAAGAACUAGGCCUUCUCAUCUAUCUAUCAGGAUGACGUGUUACUAAUCCAUAGACUUAUAGAAUUGAUAGUUUCAAGUCUCAGCUCAGUUUCUACUACUUCCGUAUGUUCAUAGCUGGCCUCAGAACCUUGAUAUUGUGAUGUUGAGUGGUCAUGCCACUAUUUUGCAGGAUGUCUCAAGUAUUUUUGAGCAUUUACAGUCGUUAUGCUAACCGAGUCAUCCCAGGUUUCUAAACUAUCUGAUGCAUUUGCAAAAUCAUCUACCUCUGGUUUCGAUGUUCCUUUAGGCCAGGUUAAUCACACUAAUUGCUGAGUUGAGGUACUCUAUUGCCUCGACAUAUAUGUUGGAGUUAUUAUUAUGACCCUAGGUGUCUUAAAGGACCACUUAGUAAUCUAGCAAUGCUUGCAUCCCCAGUGUGAUGAUUCUGGCCAUUAUUCUCGAAAGCAUCCCGUGAUGCCAUUUAGUUAGUAGGCAUUCUAUUUCUGGGUUCUUGAGCCCAAGAAUCACUCCACUUACCUCCUGUUGAUAGUGUUUGCUCGUUCCUUUAGGUUAUUAGUAACCUUUGCAUUAGUCCUCGAGGCCCGUGGUAUUUCAUUCUUCCAAUACCAUGAACCAUCAUGGCAGAAGUUCUUUUAACCAAAAGAUCACAACCAGGGCGCUCUUGAGGAGUACUCCAUUCAUAUUGUGACUCUGCCAGUCCUUCCUCCUCUGCAUGGGUUAUCCGGAAGAAAUAUGUUGAAUUUGUUCGACAUACUAAUCCAUGCAUCCACAACUCAGAAAAACAUAUGUUCCUUUGGGUUGUCCCUCUUUAGUUAUUUUCUGGCCCUCGUCUAUCAAUUGAUAGUCAGGAGUAAUUGUGCAUUUGUGUUAUCGAUGCCUAUUAUUCUUGUGGUCUGUCAAGCCAUUCUAAUCCGGAAUGACUAGGAGAAACAAACUCCAGUACCUCAUCCAUCUUUGGGAUUGGGUCAAAGUAGUUGUAUUCCGCAGAUCAAAUGCCUAACCAGCUUUUGUUCUGUUCUACCUUCGAGUAUUACCCCCUUUAUGUCGAGAAUAUCGUAGGAAUUGCACCACCUUUUGUGAAUUCUUGACGCAGUGAUACUCCUCGCCAUCAUCAUUCAUUUCUCGGUCCCGUGUUAUUGUAACCGGAACACCGACAAAUGAAUCGUGAUGCGUGAAAUCAAUACUCCUAGAAACUCCGUUGCUUGGUAGUUAAAGGACAAUAAUUUCAUCCUUAGCGUGUUGGUUACUGAAUCACAUCCUAAGGUUGAUCGUGCUACCCAGUCCUUAUUUCCGGUGCACUUUUCGAUCAAUGAGUUAGGAUAGUGUCAGUCCUUGCUUAUUCGGUCAUAUCGUCUUGCCCUGAAAAGCAAGAUUGUUCUCGAGCUUAGCAACAUAUCGGUGGUACGUGAUUUUCCGAAUAUCUUCUCGGAAGUAUCACCAGGUUGUCACCUGACCGCUAUGUUGAAUUCGUGAUCAAGUUGGUUUCCUGUAAACCACCCCUUCUCCAAGAAUCCGUGUUGGAUACCCCUGAGCUAGUUGGUCAAGCUAAACAACAACUUGGAGAGUUGGAAGAUAAAAGCUUGCCAGCCUAGUUCAUUUCAAGGGAUAUAUUUGCGUGUGUUGAAGAUAGACGAUAUCUUCAUCGAUUGGUCCCUGUGGUCAGUUGUUGGACCUAUUGUCGUAUCAAGACUUUGAUUUGAGUAUGGGCUAUCAUCAAAUCAAAUCAGAACCAACAAUGUUCAUAAUGUUGUCUUACUCGUGGUUGAUCCCUCGAGCAUACACCAUUAUAUCUUUUGGGUCUGACCAAUGCUAUCACUUGUUCACAUAAUUAUGGAAUUCCAUCUCCAUGGAAACCUGGAUGAAUUGUUGUUGAGCCCAUCAGCAACACUGCUACCUUCUCCAUGACUCGUGUUGAACAUCCAGCUAGUAUUGGAAACUUUGUAAGCAUUGCCUUCAUGUUCUGCUCAUGAGGUAUACGUUUGGAUGAAAGUAGUGACUUCCUCUAAUUCACGUGCAUUUGAUGUAAGUUGCUGCCGUGGAUUCGAGAAAGCUUGUUUUUGCUUCCUUUGGAAUCAUCCGAAGUCAGUCAUGCACAUGUGCGAAGUAUUCUGUGGUUCAGAGACUUGCAACCUUCGUUCUAUAUGUGCUCCUAGCACACCAAGCCACUGAUUGAUUUGUUCAAGGAAAAGGAGUUGUUGUGCAAAUCCUAGGUCAUGCACAAGACUUCGCUCUCUGCGAUGAUGGUUCCCCACCUGAACUCAGUAGUGUUUUAUCAUAAGACUACUAUGUGGUCAUGCUUGUCUGGGACAGCGUGUUCACAUGUGUUUAGCAGAACCAGCUCAUGUUUUGGAGUUUGCUACCUUAGUUCAUUCCUCGAGAAUCUCGCAACGCCAUCUCGUCGAAUUGUGUUGCAAACUUUCUUUUCAGACAUGCUGAGUCUGAAGUAUCCUAUCACCAAUCGGAUCUGAAUCUCAGGCAGAUAUGAUGGUUGGAACAUCCCAACGGUUGCAUUUUGUUCCCAGCUUGCACCCCAUCGUGCCAUUUUUCCAUGGGCUGCCCUUCUCAGCAGUUGCUGUCCAGGUCCAUCUACAAAGGUGGACUUACCAUGAGUCCCAUUCAUUUCUGAUGAUAAGCAAAAAUCAUCCAUUUCGUUGUCUUCAACAAGGUAGUCCACAUCGUCCAUUCUAGCCCGAGUGUGUCGUUCUCCCGAACUCCCUCAAACGAUCGUUUGUGAUUGCCUUAGGCUGGCAUAAAGAGUUUCAAUGAUAUUUAUAUCAAAAGUAAUUCUUUUUGCCACUUGAGGGAAUAAUUCUACGAGUCACCUUUCCCAAGGUGCCCCAUUAUGGAAUCAUGGCAAUUUUCCUCGCUGCUUUGAAACCUUCGUCAAAUCGUUUCUUCCGUCCCUCCUGAUGCAUGUUUUGCCUCUCAGCUCCAGAGAUGUUUCUAUGUCCCACUCUGUGAAUUGAUCUUGUGAUCAUUAAGAUGAUCCUAAGUUGCUCGAAUCUCAGAAAGAUCGAUUCUUCUAAAACUCUCUCUCUAUUCGUUGUUAUGUUGGAUGUAGUUCUCAAAGCAAGACGUUGAGAUCAAGGGGAUGCAAUGAAUCAACAUCCUCGAGAAAGACAUCUGGAUCGUGAAGAUUGUGUUAGCUUGUGUCCCUUUGUCUUCUUACCUCACGACUUGAAUCUCGGGACGAGAUUCUUGUUUAGUGGGGGUGAGUUGUCACAUCCCUAGCUUCUGACAUUGCACUAGGCUAACUUCAUGUGUGCAUCAUGUUUAAACUUUGAAAGAAACUUGAAAUGGGGAUUGCCUAAACCCUAGCAUUAAAGGAAUUCGCUAGGUUCAACCAAAAUAUUUCCAGUAAAUCCAAAUGGCUUUCAAAAAUGUUCAUCAUUCUAGGAAAAUGCUGGAAACAGUAACCAGAGGUGAUGCACAUCUUUCCAUGACAUAUUUGGGCUCUCGAUUAAAUCAUACUCUAUUUGCAUUUGGGCAUUCAAAUGCUAUUAAAUAUUUUAAAUGCUCAAAUAAUCAUAAACUAAAAUGUUUACUGUAGGAUAUAUUCCCAACAGUGAUCAUGAGUAGUUUCUUGAUUUUUGGAAGUGUCUAAGUAUUUUUAAUAAAGCCCUAAAGACUACAGAAUAUUAGAAAAUAGAAACAAAUAAAAAAAAGAGAGAGAAAGGAAACCUACCUGGCCUCACCUGUCGCAGCCCAGCUGGCCAGCCCACCUGGCCGGCCCAGCCCAGCGCCGCUGCCAGUCAUCUCCCACCUCUCGCCAGUAGGACGAGAGGCGUGUGGCCGGCGUGCACGCUGGCCACGUGCCGUGCCACCUCCUGCUUCCGCCGCUUCUGGAGCCAGCCCCGAGUGCCACGCACUCCCCCUCGCCCCCUGCGCCUCUCCUCUCUCCCCCUGGACCCCAACCCCUUCUCUGCUUCCCUCUUGCGCGCACCACCGAGCCGUCGCCACCGUCGCCGUUCGUCGUGGCCACCGAGCCCCCCUCGCCUAGCUAGGAUGUCCAGCAGCACCGCCAUCGUCUCCUACGUCUCCUGGACGAUGGAAGCAAGCCCCGACGCCCGGAAGUGUCGCCAUCGAGCUCGUCCCCGCCGCCUCUGGUCGGAGAUCGCCGGCGUCGAUCCGCCUCGUCCAAGCCGUCCCCGAGGCCACUGAACUACCCUACGGAAUCACUGUGAGCCCCUGAACUGUUUCCCCCUACUCCCGUGCUCGAUUUCGAGCUCUAGCUAGACUAGCCACCGUGCCCGAAGCUCGCUGCCGCAUGAGCUCGUCGCCGACGUGGCUCCGGCGACCAAAUGGCCCUGCGCGUGCGUCCGUUGCACUCGCGACGUCCCGUAGAGCAACGCUAGCGCGAUAGCCAGUUUGUUUGCAAGCCGCAGCGCUAACCCCGCACCCACCCGAACUCCGGUGGCCGCAAAAGAGCUCGCCGCCGUCGACUCCGGUCACCACAGGCCCAGCCACCACCACCAUUCGACGCGCACCGGCAAGGGCUCUCCAACGCGCCCAGCCAUGGCUCGAACCGUGCCUCGUAGCGCGAUCCCGAGUACCAGCUUCGCCUCUGGCCUCGCCGGCGAUUAGCCGCCGGCCUAAUCCCGGCGCUUAGCGCUAAUGACACCUGGUUAAACCCCCCUAUCUCACUGACACCUGGGGCCCGCACCCUAAUUAAACCGGGGUUUACUUUUGUUUAGUUUAAACUAACCUCGCGGGUCCCACAGGUCAGGUUGACCUAGCCACGUCAGCGUUGACCUGGACCCACUGGUCAGCCUCUGUUCCUGCCUUGUCACACUGACAUAUGGGACCCACGCGUCAGGUUUGACCUGGACCGUGGCCCGUUGACCUGCUGACGUCAGCAUGAUGUCAUGCUGACGCAGUAUUGGUUUUCUGGAUUUAAAAUAAUUCAGAAAAUUCCAGAAAAUAGUAUAAACUUCUAAAAAUCAUAUAAAAUCAACCGUAGCUCAGAAUGAAAUAAUUUAUAUAUGAAAAAUUAUCAGAAAAAUGCAAUCUAUCCAUCUGUAUCAUUUUCAUGCAUGUAAAACUAAGUUAUACCUGCUGUAUAGGUGAAAACAUGAUAAUGACAUUAUAAAUGCUAAAUAUGGAGUUUGCAUAUGAACCCUUAGUUCAUAUGGACCUCAUUUAAACUGUUGCUAGAUGCAUUAGUGUAAAUCAUAACAUUCUUGACAUGUCAUGACCAUGCAUCAUAUUGUCGCAUUGCAUUUAUUGUGUCCUUCUCUGUUUGCCGGUAACCGUCCCCUCUCAGUAGCCGAUGCUCCGAUGACGUGAUCGAUGACACCGAUGAAGAACUAUAAUAUCUUCAGAAGUGCCAGGCAAGCAAAACCCCCUUGUCCAUUCCGAUACAAACCCACUCUCUCGCUCCUGCUCUCUUUUACUGCAUUAGGACAACAACGAUUCAUCUGUUACUUGCUGCGGUAGUUGAAUCCCUUAUCCUCUGCAUGACCUGUCAUUGCCACAGUAAAUAGAUGAAACCCACUAGCAUGAGUAGGAGUUGUUUGAGCCCUGAUGUGCCUACUCAUUCAUGCUUGUUUGUCAUGCCUGCUAUUGCUUAGAGUUGUGUCAGGUCUGAUUCAUCGGGGAUGAGUUGGAAUGGUGAUGAACAUGUCCUACUGUGUGUGAGCUAAGUGUGUGAACACGAUUUGGUAAAGGUAGCGGUGAGAGGCCAUGUAGGAGUACAUGGUGGGUUGUCUCAUUGAAGCCGUCCUCAGGAACUGAGUUCUGUGUUUGUGAUCCAUGAUACAGUUACUACCACGCAUUGGGCCCGAAACCAAUGGACCCUCUCGGCUUCUUAAUCACCCUUGUCCUCUGUCCAGGAGUUGCAAGUAGUUUCUGGUGUUUGUAGUAUGCUGGAGGCCGUGGGCAGCGCUGACCCGAGGGGUGGGCUGUGAUGCGGUAGGCACGUGGCCGGGCAUGCCGGGCGCCCGUUUGGUGUCGCGGAACCCUGUACACAUCGUUCGGGGCCGUAUGUGGAAACCUCGGCCGGACUCCCUGCGGAUGGAACCUGAAUAGGCGAUAAACCUGGACUAGAGACUUGAGCGUUUAGGUAGGCUGUGGCCGACACCCUCGCUGGGCUUCCGCUUGAAGGUUGCCGAGUACAUGUCGUGUAAACGGCGGUAAGUGGUGAGAGCGUGUGUGACGAAGUACACCCCUGCAGGGUUGAUAUGAUCUAUUCGAAUAGCCGUGUCCGCGGUAAAGGACUUCUGGGUUGCCUAUAACAGUUCAUAGACAAGUGAAAGUGGAUACUCUAAAAUGUGCAAGAUAAGCGUGAGUGCUAUGGAUGGCGUUCUCGUAGGGAGACGGGAGCGGAUCCAUAGUGGAGUAUUGAUAUGGUGAAUAUGUGGACUCGUGUGCGCCACCUCAAAAGAGUUACUUGCAGUCGUAGUUAGGAUAGCCACCGAGUCAAAGCUGGCUUGCUGCAGUUAAACUCCACCACCCCCUUUGUUGAUACCGAUGCAUAUGUAGAUAGUUCUGAUGUAAGUCUUGCUGGGUACAUUUGUACUCACGUUUGCUUAUUUUAUGUUUUGCAGAGAGACGUCAGUCUCGCUAGUAGUUCCGUGUGGACUUCGACGUUUAGCUUGAUACCUCAGCUACGAUCUUGUGCCCUCGGCAGGAUCUGGUAGAUAGUCAGGCUUCUCAGCCUUUUUCAUUUGUAGAUGUCUGUACUCAGACAUGUUAAGCUUCCGCAUGUGUUUGACUUGUAUGCUCUGAAUGUUGGGUCAUGAGACCUAUGUUUGUAAUAUCUCGCUCCUCGGAGCCUAAUGAAUAAAUACUUGAGUCGUGGAGUUAUGUUGUGAUGCCAUGUUGUAUUUACACAUAUCGAGCAUAUUGUGUGUAUGAUUGAAAUGCUUGGUAUGUGUGGGAUCCGACAAUCUAGUUGUUUAUCCUUGGUAGCCUCUCUUAUGGGGAAAUGUAGUCUUGUGCUUCCAUGAGCCAUAGUAGUCCGCUACAGCCCGGUUCACCGGAGUCCUGCUAGCCCAGCACUACUGCUCCGGGACACUUGACUGGCCGGCAUGUGAUUCACGUCGUUCCUGUGUCUGUCCCUUCGGGGAAAUGUCACGCGGUGACAUCCGGAGUCCUGCCUAGCCUGCUACAGCCCGGGUUCCCGGAGUCCUGUUAGCCCAGUGCUACAGCCCGGAUUCACACGUUGCUGACCGACAUGCUCGAUGUUGAUUCAUGUAUGCCUGUCCCCGUAAGUUAGUGCCGCUUUGGGUUCACGACUAGCCAUGUCGGCCCGGGUUCUCUGUCAUAUGGAUGCUAGUGACACUAUCAUAUACGUGAGCCAAAAGGCGCAAACGGUCCCGGGCCAUGGUAAGGCGACACCCGUGGGAAUACCGUGCGUGAGGCCGCAAAGUGAUAUGAGGUGCUACAGGUUAGAUCGGUGUGACUUAGAAUCGAGGUCCUGACACAAUCAUUUUCCCAUUUUGAAGCAUCCCCUGUCCAACCUCCUUUUCUCAGUAUAGACAUUUUCCUUUGAUGACAUUCUCAAAGUGGAUAGUAAAGAAGAAGUAAAAGAAUCCACCAACCUUGUAAACCACUCCAUACCCACCUUUCCCGAGUUCCUGCUCGUUGGAAAAAUUGUGUGUGAUGGCUUUAAGAAAUUCUACCGGCAGGAAAAUUGGAGUGACACUUGGCUCUUGUAGCAUGUUCUCAAAUAUACCAAAAUCCAUAGUGUUUGGCAGGGAAUUAUUGGCAUGCGUCCUAGCUUCGUUACCCAUUUUCUUAUACUCAUGUAAAGACAGCAAUCGGUUAUGGCGGUCCGUUUACCUCCGUAUCCCCUUCUUAUGUGAGCCAGUCUUGCAAACAGCUGAAAUGUGACCCUCUCUGCUCCAAAGUCGGGACAAAAGUUGUCAGUAAGUACCAAUAAUAUAUAACGACGACCGAUUAGUGUGUAAUGCAGGUUAAGUUUGCAUCACGAGUGUUGUGGCUCGCCUUAUUACAUAGUCUAAUUUCCAUUAUCCGUAACAACGUGUGGGCGAUAUAAUUUAAUUUUUAGUGUAUUUGGCUAGUAUGUUGAAGGAAAUUUGCAGGUGCACCUCAAAAUUGGGAGCAUCUGUUCAACAGGAUCAAAAUGAAGGUGCCACCCUUGCGACUAAAAAGGGGUGAGGAAUAAGUAGUACCCUUCCCUGAUCUCCAACAAAAUCUGCAUCCAUCUUGGGAUUAAAUUACAGACAAGCACAACCAAUAAUAAUAAGAUGAAAUUAGAGGUGUGAAGAAAGGUUCUUUCCAAUAUACUAGUGCAGUAAGUAGUGAACAAAAAACCUUGAUUGCCAUUUAUUACCUCCGCCCCGAAUUACUUAUCUUAGAUUUGUCUAGAUAUGGAUGUAAAUCUAAGACAAGUAAUUUGGGACGGAGGGAGUACUUGCUAACACAAGAUGACCUGGACCUGGACAUAUAUAAAGAAGCUAAAGUGCAGAAAUAGGAUAAACUGGGAUUGUUGUGGAAUUAAAACAGAUGACUGGAAACAAAUUGUAUUUUUCUUCUUCAUUCAGAAAGUAGGCUUUUCACUCGGGGCUAUAGUUGAGGUACCUAUCCCAAAUUCCAGACGCCACCCCAUCUACCUGUCCGAAAGUAGGCCUUCUCUUCUCCAUCAUCUUUCUCCCGCAGAAAUCCAUGGCUUCCAAGAUGUCCCGCGCUCACAAUCCGGCCGCGGGAGGUUUGCUGCAACACAAAGACGUUCUGGCGAUCGGCGAUCGAAUCUGAACUAUUCUGCUACUACUGUAUCCCUUCCUACCUAGGCGAGAGCAGGGGCCAAAUGAGGCGCGCGGGAAUGACACAAGCGUCAAGGGAAAUCGAUUCCGUGUGAAAAUUGGCGCAUAAAACAGUAGAGAUCGAUUCCGUACCUGGACAAGAAAGAUCAAGGCCUGCCUCGAUCUGCAGCGCGGCGCAGAGCCUGAAUCGGAGAUGUCGGGAUAGCUUGACCUUGACUCCGCCAAAGGGCUCACUGGCUCCGGAGAUAGGAAGAAUUGUUGGCUUCACCUGGGCUGUGCAGUCUUCAACUCACAAGUCACAAUGAUGGUGUGCCACGGUCUCUCUCUCUCUGGUUCUGGUUCUGGUUCGCAAGGUUUAAGAAAGCGCAGAAGUAGACCAUCUUUUUUUAAAUCCUUCUUCUUAUACUAAUCAAAAUCACUAUUCUCUAUACCAUUAUAAAAAUCACCACUUGGAUACUAUAGAGCCGACCAGAAUAAAUAGGCUGUUUCUCAAGUUCUUGAUGAUCGGACGGUAGAGUGUACGAAGACCGGAUCCCCCUCCAAUCACCCCCGUGUUAAUCAUAUUCCCAUCACCUUCCAAAUUAAAUACUACGUACUAGUUAUAAGCGUUUCAGCUCAUAUCCUAUCCCCACACGCUUCACGCGACACGACACACCAUAGCGACGCUGCAACGCUCGGCUGAUUGACGCAUACGCCAUACGGCAUACCCGAUCCACCUCCUCUUCUCUGCCCACCCCACCCCUCUCUCCCCAAUGCUCACGAUUCUCGAUUGUCUGGUUUCAGUUUGAUCAGCAGCAGGCGGCUACGAGGCCCUUCCCAACGUCCACGCGGCCGAUUCGCCACAGCACGCCCACCACACAGAGCCUCCGAUGCGCUGCCGGCCGGUUUCCUCCUCGCACUCUAGGUGUUUGACGAAUUGUGCAGAAGGUAAAAAAAAUUUUGCUUUUUUUUUUGUUGUGGACAAAUGAGUAGAUGGUAAUUAAAACUAUUGCAUUGUACAUGAGUUCAAUUGAUUCAUGUUCUCCGUGCGAUGAUUCCUCAUCGGAAGAGCAAUAUGACAUGACUGAAUAGGAGGACAUUGCUUUGAUCUUGAUGAUGCACAAGAACCAGAAGCUCAAGCAUGGUGGUUCCUUUCACAAGCGAGAGGUGAUUCGGAGGGAUACGCAAGAGGCACAUGUUAGAUUGAUGCGCCUCUACUUUGGUCCAUCUCCAACAUUAUCAAGGGUGAUGCUUUCGUCGUCGGUUUAGGAUGUAUUCGGUUUUGUUCCUUCACAUUGCCAACUGUACGAAACAACAUGCUCUGACCUUUGAACAGAGGAGGAAUUGCACCGGCAAUCUUGGACAUAGCACCAUCCAGAAGGUGACUGUCGCAUUGCGCAUGAUGGCAUAUGGUGUUUCGGCUGAUUUUUAUUUAUGAUAACUUGGCGAAGGGAGAGACACUUUGAUCUUUUAUGUCAAGCGGUCGCAAAGGCAGUGGUUGAGGUGUUUGGGCCAUAGUAUCUGGAAGCACCCAAUGCUCAGGACACGGCGAGGCUUUUGGAGAUGAACUCAGCCCGUGGAUUUUCAGGUAUGCUGGGCUUCGUUCAUUGCAUGCACUGAAAGUGAAAGAACUACCCUGCGGCAUGGGAUGGACAGUUCAAAGGACAAAAGAAGGACGCCACCAUAGUUCUUGAGGCCGUGGCCGAUAAGGAGGCAUGGAUUUGUCAUGCAUACUUUGGGGUGCCUGGUUUUUACCAUGACAUCAAGGUGCUACAGCGGUCACCUCUCUUUGUCAAGUUAGCCAAUGGAGAAUCACCAUCGAUGGAGCUCCCAGCAAAUGGCCGCACAUACAACAUGGGCUACUACCUUGCGGAUGAGAUCUAUCCAAAGUCGUCUACUUUUUUGAAGCCAAUUUCAACUCCUCAUGGUAAGAAAGAACUCUACUUUAAUAAUGCUCAAGCGGACGCUAGGAAAGGUGUGGAGAGGGCUUUGGAAAUUUUGCAAGCCCAAUUUGCUAUUGUGCGAGGACCGGCUAAGUUUUGGGAUCAAGAGAUCCUUUGGUACAUCAUCACAGCAUGUGUAAUCAUGCACAACAUGAUCAUUGAGAAUGAGCAUGAUAAAGAUUUGGAUUACACAUUCUAUGAGCUCAUGGGAAACGCGUUGUCAUGCCCCGGCUGAUUGCCGCGCAGGUUGUAGUCGUGGUUGGUAGGAGGACGAGGGCGAGGCCCUCGCUUGCCUAUGGUUGGAGAAGGGGGUGAGGAGUGGCGCCGUGGCGCAGGAGCAAGGGAGGAGAGGUUGUAGGAUAUUCUGCUUGCGUUUAUUGAUCCAAGGGCUGGCUAUAUAGCCUAAUUACAAGACCAAACUAAGACUCCUAUUACAAUUGGGUGUUGGCAGGGUAACCUUCUUCGGGCCUAAACAUUUCCAACUAAUACCCAAACUCCUAAUCUAAAAAGACUGUAAUUAAACUAGGACAUAUCUUUAUGCAGGUGCAGGGCCGGCCCAUGCAGGUCCCUUACGCCUAUAGGGCUGGCCCCACAUGACAUCUCCCCCUCCAUUCUGAAAUAGCUCGUCCUCGAGCUGGAAGCUUCGAUAACAUUCGCGGAAGGUUGUAACAUCCUCCCAUGAAGCAGCACACGCCGGCUGGCCCUCCCAGUGAAUGAGCACCUGCUGGAUACCGCGGGCAAUACGAGCACGCAAUGCUUGGACAUAGGUUGGAUGUACUCGACCCUGAAACAGAGGUGGAAGCAUCGGCGGAACUUCCGGCGGUGGGCCAUGGUACUUCUUCAGACCCCGACAUGGAAAACAUUGUGAAUGCGGGUGCGUGGGGGCAGCUCCAAACAGUAAGAAACCGUAUCGAUUUUAGCGAGGACUUUGAAAGGCCCAUAAUAUUUGGGAGCCAAUUUCCCUUUGGCGCCUACUCCAAGGAAUGCCGCCGGCCGGUGCUGAAGACGGAGCCAAACCCACUCUCCAACAUCAAAAGAAAGGGCCCGAUGCUUAUCAUCAUAGUAAUGCUUGUACUGUUGUGCUGCCUGAAGGAGACGCUCACGGAUGUCGUGUAAGAACUGAUCGCGGUCGACGAUCUGCCGUUCCACCGCCUGAUAGCGAAUCUCGCCUGGCGUAUAGUCCCGGAAUGAGGGGGGAUCCCGUCCAUAAACCACCCUGAAAGGCGUGUCCUUCAACGCUGAGUGGUACGAAGUGUUGUAGCAGUACUCCGCCCAAGGCAACCAUUGGAGCCACUGCCGUGGGCGAUCCCCAGUUAUGCAACGGAGGUACAUGGUGAUGGCGCGAUUGAUGGCCUCAGAUUGCCCAUCAGACUGCGGAUGGAAGGCCGAACUCAUGUGCAAGCGUGUCCCCGCGGCGGCAAACAGAGCCUUCCAAAAGCCCGAACUGAAAACCACAUCCUUGUCCGAAACGAUGGAUGUGGGAAACCCAUGAAGUCGGACAAUGUUGGAGAAGAAGGCUUUAGCAACAGACUCCGCAGUGUACGGAUGCGCCAAGGGGAUGAAAUGCACAUACUUGGAGAAACGGUCCACAACGGUCAGUAUCACACUUUUGCCGCCCACCUUCGGAAGUGCCUCAAUGAAAUCCAUGGAGACGUCUUCCCAGACACGAGAGGGCACUGUCAAGGGCUGCAAUAAGCCGGCUGGAUGAAGCUGCUCCGUCUUGUUGCGUUGACAAACCUGACAAGCACGAAUAUACUGCUGAAGUGCGGCCCUUGCUUGCGGCAGAUGGAAAUCCCGACGCCGAUGAAGUGACUUCUGGAUACCUUCAUGGCCUGCAUCAUGGGCUGCAGCCAGGACCUCCCCGAGCAGCGGCGGCGCGGGUGGCACAUAAGCCCGCUGUUGGAAGGUAACAACACCAUCAACAAGAGCCCAAGGCUGUCCUAACUCACCAGAUUCUAGUUGUUCCCGGAAAGUGACAAGCGCCGGGUCCGUGUGUGCAGCCUGACGGAGAGCUUCAAACAGAUCAAAAGAAGGCCCGGAUAUGGCGAGUGCCUGGCCGGCAGGAGCAUCACGGCGAGAAAGAGCAUCGGCGACGAUGUUUUGGCGACCCGGUUUAUAUUCCACCGUGAAGUCGAACCCCAACAAUUUGCCCACCCAAUGAUGCUGUGGAAUGGUAGCGAGGCGUUGGUCCAGCAAAAACUUUAGGCUGUAGUGGUCAGUUUUGACGACGAAUGCAUGUCCCCAAAGAUAGGGCCGCCAGUGGCGCACGACGUGCACCAGACCAAUGAGCUCCCGCUCAUAAGCGGCGAGAGAAGCAUGACGCGGAGCGAUGGUUUUGCUGAAAUAGGCAAUGGGGCCGCCACCUUGAUGGAGGACUGCCCCGAAACCAGAUCCAGAUGCAUCACACUCCACAAUGAAUGAAACAGCAAAAUUCGGCAGCUGAAGCACAGGGGCUGUGGUAAGAGCUUUCUUGAGGGCUUCAAAGGCAAUAGUCGCUGCAGGCGUCCAAAGAAAUCCGUCUUUCUUGAGGAGUGCCGUGAGGGGAGCUGCAAUGGUGCCAAAAUCCGGAUGAACUUGCGGUAGUAUCCUGCCAGUACUAAGAAACCACGCACAGCGCGGACGGUGCGCGGAACCGGCUAGUCUACCACGGCAAGAACCCUGUCGCUGUCCAUGGCAACUCCUGCAGCGGAGAUGACGUGUCCCAGAUAAGCCAUGGUUUCCUCCCCAAAGGAACACUUGGAGCGCUUGAGAAACAGUUGAUGUGUGCGCAUAGCCUCCAAAACGAGCUUGACAUGACGGAGGUGAUCCGACAAGGACGAGCUGUAGAUCAAGAUAUCAUCAAAGAACACAAGCACAAACCAACGAAGGUAGGGACGGAGGACGUCGUUCACGAGUGCUUGGAACGUCGCUAGGGCAUUUGUCAAACCAAAGGCCAUCACUACAAACUCAAAGAGGCCCUCAUGUGUGCGGAAGGUCGUCUUGUGGAUAUCCUCAGGGGCCAUCCAAACCUGGUGGUAACCCGACCGAAGAUCCAGUUUGGUGAAAAAAGUGGGCGCCCUUGAGUUCAUCCAGAAGUUCAUCGACAACAGGAAUUGGAAACUUGUCCUUGAUGGUGACAAGGUUGAGACCACGGUAGUCGAUACAGAAACGCCAAGUCCCGUCGGCCUCUCUGACGAGUAGAACGGGGGAUGAAAAUGCAGAAGAACUAGGACGGAUCAGACCAUGAGCCAUCAUCUCUGAACAUUGGCGCUCUAGUUCAUCUUUUUGAAUCGUUGGGUAGCGGUAGGGACGGACAGCAACCGGCAGUGUUCCGGAAAUAAGAUGAAUAUGAUGGUCAUGUGCACGCUGCGGCGGCAGGCCCUGUGGGUCGGCGAAAACAUCGGUGAAAGUGGCCAGCAGGCUGUCCAGAAGUUCCUUGCCUUCGCACGCGUGUAGGUGGGCAGGACGUCCGAGGGAGCCGAAGCCCGACCACUCCACACGGUGAUCCGAGUGCCAAAACGACAUCCACUGCGUAGUGAAAUCCCAGAGAAUUGGCCCAAGAGUUUUGAGGAAUCGUGUACCGAGGACGAUGUCGAACCCGCCCAAUGGAAUGGCAUGCAGAUCAACAACGAAACGCUCCUUGUCAAUGGUGAUCGCAGCCUGCUGAAGGAGUCCCCGACAGGUCACCUUAUCGCCAUUAGCGACCAUGACUCCCAAACGACGAUUGGAGGAGAAAGGCAGCCCGACGAUGGUGGCCAACUCUUCAUGGAUGAAGUUAUGAGUGCUGCCUGAAUCAAGCAAGGCGACCAAGUCACGGUCCCCGAUGCGAAGAGUGACCUGCAUUGUGUCGCUGGUGGGAAUUCCGGUAACAGCCAAGAGUGAGAUUUGUGCUUCCUGGAAAUCCUCAAACUGCUCCUCCUCGGCGUCGGCGGAUUGAAUAUAGAACAGUCGUUUGCAGCGAUGGCCCCGCGUGAACUUCUUGUCACAAUUGAAGCAGAGACCCCUAGCGCGCCGUUCAUCCAUCUCGGCGGGCGUGAGUCAUUUAAAGACAAGCGCGGGCGUGGGGUUGGAGGAGUCCGGCAAGGCCGGAGUAGGUCCAGCCAUGGGGCGGAGUGGACGGCUGGGCCGGCCCGGAGUGGUCGCGGUGCUGGUGACAGUAUUGAGGUGCUCAAAGGAGAUUUCUAAGUCCAUAGCUGCGUCCAAAGUCGUCGGUUUCAGCAUCUCGACCUGAGUUUUCAUAGGUUCGCCCAAGUUGUUGGUGAAGAUAUCCCGCUCAUCGUCGUCAGCAAUGGGGCGCACCCGAGAGAGAUUCUCUAGAAAGCGCUUGGAGUAUUCUGCCACGGUGCCGGAGCGGCGGGUGGAGAUCAGCUCGCCAAAGGGGUUGGCGCGGGUCGGCGGUCCGAAGUGGUUGGCGAUCAGUUUUUGAAACUCGGUCCAGGACGGCCGCUGGCCCAGCUUAGUCUCGAGGUGGCCAUACCAUAAUGCGGCGACAUCGGUGAGGUGGUAUGAGGCGAGCCAAGUCUUAUCCGACUCCGGCAUUCGCUACCCGAGGAAGAAGAGAUUGCAACGUGUCAGCCACAGCCGUGGAUCGCUGGCUCCGUCAAAGAGGGGAAAAUCAAUCUUGUAGAGGCGCGAAGCCCUAUCCCCUGGAUCGGCCGGGGCCCUGGUGUGGGAGGGCGCAUCUGGGGGCCGCAGGAGCCCGGUACCACCCAAUUGAGGCGUGCCCUUGCCUUCCAGCCGAAGGAGGGCCAUGUUCUGCGCGCGCUGCUGCUGUGACGUGUCCGUCAGCUGGUCCUGGAGGGUUUUGAGUGUAGCGGCGAUGGACUGGAGGGUGGUGCGGUCCUCGGCGCGCUCUGUCCGAGUAGUGUGGUUCUCCUCCGAGAGGCUGUUCAAAGUGGCGACCACGGCCUCAUGAUCCUCUUGUUUGGUCGCGAGGUCUGCUAGGGUUUGCGGUAGAGGCGCCGGCGGCGGUGGCGGAGACAUGGCCGCUGGGAUCGACGAGGAAGCUGAUACCAAGUUGUCACGACCCAGCUGAUUGCCGCGCAGGUUGUAGUCGUGGUUGGUAGGAGGACGAGGGCGAGGCCCUCGCUUGCCUAUGGUUGGGGAAGGGGGUGAGGAGGGGCGCCGUGGCGCAGGAGUAAGGGAGGAGAGGUUGUAGGAUAUUCGGCUUGCGUUUAUUGAUCCAAGGGCUGGCUAUAUAUAGCCUAAUUACAAGAUCAGACUAAGACUCCUAUUACAAUUGGGUGUUGGCAAGGUAACCUUCUUUGAAACUAAACCUUUCCAACUAAUACCCAGACUCCUAAUCUAAAAAGACUGUAAUUAAACUAGGACAUAUCUUUAGGCAGGUGCAGGGCCGGCCCGUGCAGGUCCCUUACGCCUAUAGGGCUGGCCCCACAUGACACGCGUGCAACUGCAUAGAAGGGAGGACCAAAUCCGGCGUUUUCUUGAGGUGUACCAUGACAUUCGAGAUGCCCAUACACACGUAGAUAUUCAAAACAAUGUCAUGGGGGGAGUGAUGGAAGUGGCACGGAAAACAACAUCCCUAGUUUCAUCUUAUUGUGCGAUGAAUAAUUUGUGUGAUGUGUGAUGAACAAUUUGUAUAAUAAUUUGAUGUUCUGGAUUGAUGAGCAAUUUGUGUGAUGCGUGAUGAACAAUUUACGUUUGUAGUGAAAUUUAUUUGUUUUGUAAUCCCUUGAGAGUUUGAUAUGAAUUUAAUAUGUAUGAAAUUGUCGGUGCCCAAUAUAGGGCAGCUGUUGAAGAUGCAAAACUUUUUUUGGCGUACAUUUUAUUGGGUUGUUGGAGAUGCCCUUGGCAGUGGAAUGGCAAGCUGAGACCUGGGACUGGGAGCACCCGGAAUGGCAAGCUUGAGACGGAGGGUGGACUCUGUUUCGAUGUUGUAGUCCUCUAGGGUGCGGCCGUCCUCCAGUAGCGUCCCGUUGAAGAAGAGGCACUGCUGGGAAGGGUGGAUGCCCGUCUCAUCGUGGAUCUUGGCCUUCACAUUGCCAAUUAUAGUGGAGCUCCAGACUGUAACACUAGUGAUGGUCUUGCCUCUCAAAGUGUUGAUGUAGAGACGCACCCUGUUUCUCUUCGGCUGCCUAGAACUCACAUACAGGACACUUUCACUAUUCAUGCCGUAGUAAUCCAGGGUACACUCAUCCUCCAGCAACUUCUUACCAUUGAACAGGCGCUGAUUGCCCGGGGGAAUGGCCUCCUCAUCAAGAAUCUUUGCCUUGAGACUGUAGAUGGUAUCUGAGCCAUCAACCUCGAGAGCGAUGGUCCUGCCACUCUUUCCGGCCACAAUGUCUGCUAUCUUCUCGGCAUGGAUCUGCAUCUUUGCCUGGAGAAUCGAUCCACUCCGGAUGUCAUAAUCCGCAAAAGUGCGACCGACCUCAAGCCGCUUCCCGUCAAGGUAGAGAACGGAAAAAUCCUUAAUGUUAUAACGUCAAAAAUCCUUAAGGCCUUCUUUGCACUUUCCCUGAAGCACAAGAUCCCGUAGUUCCUGAAUCUUGGUCUUCACAAUGCCGAUGGUAUCUGUACCAUUAACCCGAGGGUGAUGAUCUUGCCGGUGAGGUCCCUGACAAAGAUCCACAUCUGUAUUACAAAGUAACAACCACACAAAGUAUCAGCAUCCUUCAGAAAAAAAGGAUUUCUCUUGGCUUUCAAUAAAACCUCAAAAACGUAAGGCUUAGUACUGUAAUAAACAUCACCAAUGCCAGCAUAUUAUAGAACCAUGGCAUAAAUAUCAUACUGCUCAGGUACUUUUUCUUUUCCUAUCGAAGUUCUUGCCAAAUAUAUAAUUGCAUAAUUGAACGGGAGCACCAAACAUUCAAAAGUUUCAGACAAAAGGCUGUUAUUAGAACCACUGGACAAUAAAAGCGAGCCCAUGUUGUAGUACAAGUAGAACUCACCAAUAGACACUUUAGUCACAACAAAAUCUGUUGGUUCACAUAACAGUCUACUCUAAUUAAUUAGUUAAGAAUCGUUGACCGAUAUGAAGAUUUGGAAUACCUUUGUUUGCUUUGAUAUUGCUUCAUACAUACCAUAAAAGAAAAUUACAAGAAUAAAGAAUGGAACACAAAUUUGUUAGAUUGUGUGUGACUCUGAGCACAGACAGAUAUCCCACAUGGGUUCUCUUCUUUCAGAUAGAACCACGGGAUGAACAAAGACAGGCACGAAUGACUAUACAGUACGUCUAGAUAAGGAACACAAGAACACACGUACCUUGAUGUUGACGAGCGGACGAAGUGCUUACUGGCGGGUUGGGUAGAUCAGUGACCGCUCUUCUUACCCCGAAGGAAUCACGCUGAGGGAGAAAGAAGGGGAUGAGUUGGGGUUGGGGAUGUGGAAGGAGAUGCCCUGGUUCUUAUAGUAACAUCCGAUCGGCGGUAACAAUAAAUCCGAGGAAUUGAAUGAGCGUCCUUACGACUCCUCGUGUAGAGCUGCAGUUGUGGUGGCUUCCUUCCCACUCCCGAAGAUGGCUUUCGCGUUUCCCCUUCUGCUUCAUCAGAAAUGAUGCGACCAGCGACGCCUGGCAUGGGUGGCAUCGUUGGAGCCCGUUACAUCCAUCCUGCCGUUUAAGUUGCAGUACCACCGUCUGCCCUUUGCUGUGCCACAUGAACGAAACCUAGGAGUGGAGAAAGCCAUCGCGGAGUCCGAAAAUGCCAUCCUGACUUCCUGAGUUCCUGACUCAGGUCCACCAUAUUCCACGAUCGGUACUACAGCUCCAUGAACAACCAAGGCCACCUUCCAUCACCUUGUUUCAGUUUCCCAAACACUGAAAUUGAACCAGAAAGUGAUUCGAUACCAUGACCUUGAAGGUAACAUCCCGCGUCGACGACCACGCGUUGCAUGCGCAGAUAUUUGAGGAGUGCAGCAUGAUUGAAGGGUUUAGAGGUGCCUUCUGUCUUCGAAAUUGGGCAUGCCACAUUAUCUAGUGAAUCUUCUAUUACAUGGUCGGCCAUCCAAGUCGUGUCCAACUUACAUCCAUCACGCACACUGUUGCCAACAUGUUUGCCCACUGCUUAGAUGAUGUUUCACUCAAGUUUUGCGGGCUUAUUAGGGUGGGAAAGUCAGCCUUGAUAUCUUUGCUACGGCUAUAUAGAAAUGAUUUGGCUUUUAAUAGUAAAAGUAAUUCUACAUUAUCGGUUAUCUACCGGCAUACACAUUUACUUUGUUCGUGGCCUUCGAGCAGGUGGUCAAGGAUGUGCUUACCCCAUGUGGGUGGCGGCAUAGUUUACUUCCCGCGAGGAGCACAUUUGUGUUUUUGUGCUUCUUCAAAAGUGAAGGACGGGUGUGCUUCCACGUGAAAAGCACAAUCAUGCUUCCACAAAAGUGAAGCACAGUUAGUAUAAUUUCUGAAGUACAUGCAGUUAGUACAAUUUUGAAGCACGAGAUAGUACAGUUUUGAAGCACAUAUUUCAUCCGGAAGAAUUUAUCGAAACCUAUUAAUAUGGAAUCUAGGUUCAAGAGAUAAAACAAUAAAAAUGAGUAUACAAAAAAACACAAACAAACGCACCCAUGCCUCUCGUAUGUGGAGAAAAACCUCACAAACUCCCAGGUUGCGACUUGCGUUGCAUAUGCAAUGCGGCACUUGUUAGAGCAUCUACAUCCGGACUUGGCAAAUUUGACGCCUCUAACGUCUGUGGACAGUGACCGACCAUGCAUCAAAUAUUCCAUUCCACAACCGAAUACCUCAAAUCCGUACUACUACAUGCAACCUGAACCUAAUCUUAAGCAGAGCCCAUCCGGCUCUGCUAGCUGUGUCCAUGUCUGGCGGCCAGCUAUGCUCUCCAGAGUGUUGGUUCCGUCGUCGGCAAGGUAGAGUAGGGCAUGGGACACGAGCCGGCUCACGGGACUCAAGGGGCGCCAUCUCCCAUGCCCUACUCUUUCUCGUCGGAGCCCGAAACCCUGACGGUCCCGUUGGACGUCAGAUCGAUGAUGGAUCCGUCCUGGGACGAGCCGACAUCCACCAUGACAUGGUUGCGGCGCUCGGACUGGAGCACCAUACAGGGCGCCGGAGAAUGUGACUCCGCCUCGCCAACGUCGACCGCCGCGAGGGCUUCCGCUGCCUCACAUGGCGGGCACGUCGCGCCAUGUUUUCGUCGCCGGACGCCCAUGGUGCGUCCUCAUGCUUAGUGCACCAACAGAGGGGUUGUGCAUCCGCCACCAUGUUCGGAUGGCAGAAGCACCGCACCGCCUCCGGUGAGGCAACGUUCUACACAUCGCGGCGGAUCCAUGCGCCAUUUGGGCGGACGCAAUGGAUUCCUGAGGAAGGACUCCGAGUGCUGCCGUCGGACGACCUCCUGCCCGGAGUGGCGGAGCGUAAGCCGGAUGGUCAUCUCCUACUCGGGGCCGUGUCGGAUGAGCUCAGGGUCGACAGAUCUAGAGGUGUAGGACUCGGAUCCGAUGCCCGCCAUGCCGGAUGUCGCCAGACGGGAGCUUGGGUGGCGGAGGGGAGUAGAGUGAAGUGGCUAGGAUUUGGUUCGGGAAGCGGAUGGGGAGGAAUAUAUAUGGGGUCGGGUGGGCUAGCGUGGGUCGGACCCGACGUGGCAGACGCGCCCGGGCCUCCCCAUAUUCGCCUCAUAUUUGGGCUAAAUAUGAUGGGUGCCGGUCAGCACGGGCGUUUGAGGAGGGUUUGAUGGUGUUGCCCUAUGUCUCGCAUUAAGCAAGACAAGAGCGACCCCUUGCUUAAGGCAAAUGCCACUUGGGACGACCCACGCGCGCGGGAUACAUCGGCAUGUUUUCUGUUUCAUUUUUUCUCACACUUUUUUGUUUUUGUUUUUCUUUCUUUUUUUUUACUUUUGUUAAUACUUUAAAAUAUUCUAAAUAUAUACAUGACAAAAAAAUUCUUCAAAAACAUUUAAAAAACUGUUGAAGAUGUAUUUUGUAAAAUUUUGAAGAAGUAUCCGAAAAAUGUAGAAGAAGUAUUCGAAAAAUGUUGAAGACAUAUUUGAAAAUUUUUAAACAAGUAUUUGAAAAAAUAUUGAACAAUUAUUUUAAAAAUGUUAACAAGUAUUUGAAAAAAUGCUAAAAAGUAUUUGAAAAAAUGUUGAUCAUGUAUAUAAAAAUGUUGAAGAAGUAUUUAGAAAUAUUAAACAAGUAUUUGAAAAAAUGUUGAAUACGUAUUAAAAAUGUUGAAGAAGUAUUAGAUAAAAUGUUGAAUAAGUACCAGAAAAGUAUUGAACGAGUAUAUGGAAAAUGUUUAACAAGUAUUUGUAAAAUGAUGACUAAGUAUUAAAAUGUUGAACAAGUAUUUAAAAAAUGUUGAAUAAGUGUUCGAACAAUGUUGAACGUGUAUACAAAUUUUUUUGAUCACUUAUUAAAACAUGUUUUUCAGAUAUGUGAAAAUGUAGAGCGAAAACAAAAACAAACAUAAGAAAAAACAGAAGAAAAAUAAAAUUGGAGAAGGAAAAAACAAAAGAAAAAACAAAAUGAAAACAUAGAAAAACCGGAGAAAAAAAUCAGAAAAAAACGGACAAUAAACAUUGGAAAACCCCGGCUCGUUCGACUUAAGUUAACCCGCCCUGCAACCAUAUCACGAAGCAAACCUCUAUCCUAGUGGCUAGCCGCACUUGCCGCAACGAGGAGGCGAAGGUUUGGAUCCUGUUCUUGCAUCCUUUUCUCUUCUAUUUUUAGUGUAUUUUUGUGCAUGAAUGGGCCCGGCCCACUACUGUCGACCCCUUCAGCGAGACCAGACGGAUGUCUUGCUGAAGCGAGAAAUAGUCGUCCUGGGUUUGAGUCGCUCGUCUGGGUCGGUUUUUUGUGACCAACCACUGACCGAGCUGUCCGCCCAAAUGUAUGAGAAGGGUUUGAGGCGCCCAGCAGCUGUAGAUGCUCUUAUCACCAAAGAAGAUGGAAGUGAUUUUUGCAAAGAGUACUUCUUAAAUAGUGAUUCUGUCGGCUCAUAGACACCGUAAUAAGAGAUGUACAGACUCACCCUAUCAGGCAGGCCUUAAGGCGACGCAUCUUAUGUCACCCAACGAGGGUGUGAGGCCCAAUAGAGUUGACUCCCCUACUUCUUCUGUUUGUUUAUCUUUUUUGUAUUUCUUCUUCUUUUGAUACUUGUUUUCUUGUUCUAUGUUUGUUUUAUCAUUUUUUAUUCGCACAGCCCCUUUUGCAUAAUUUUCUAGUUUAUGUGUUAUGUUUUAUUUUUAUUAUUUUAUUUGUUUUCUUUUAUUUGUUUUAUUUACGAUGACCUGAUUUUUCAUGAAAUAGGAGAACAUUCCUUGAUACACCUGAACAUAUUUUUUUCAUAUACAUGAAGAAUAUUUUAUGCAUGGUAUAAUACCAUAAAUAUUAAAAAAAACUUCAUAUGGGAAUAUAUUUUCACAUAUAGGAACACUUUUUAAUGCAUGAACAGUACCUUUUCAACAUAUUCUUUUUGGCACACUUGAUCACUUUCUUAUUUGCAACACAUAAUUUGUUUUCCUAUGUUUAAAAUUAUUUGUGUCAUCGUUGCAUUGAGGGCACGGGCGAGCCUCUGUAGUGGGCGGCGCCGGAGGGCGCGACAAGCACUCAAGCUCCAGACACACAACACACCUGUGUGGGGCUAGCCCCAUACCUCCAUGAGGUGUGAUGUCCGAGCACCUUAGAGGGCAUCGCCGCCUUGAGUCGGGUUCCACCUGAUGGCGCUGGUGUGUCAGGCUCGGCUAGGUUGGAAGCACGACUCUGUCAUCGUGGAGGACGCAUGCACUAUGCCGGUGGUGACUCUUUGUGGUGGUCGAACGAUGGAGGGUGCAUGAGAGAACCGCUUGGUUGUCGUGGACGACACAAUACGACGAACGCGGUCGAGACCACAUCUUCCUCUUCUCUUCUCAUGUCUUCUCCUUUUGAGUACCCUGGUUUUUUGUGUUUUUGUCACAUCUUUAAUGGCCUUUAUGCUCUCGGCCAGAGCAUGCAGCAUGUUAGUUGUAAUUGUAACUAGAGAUUGACACUCAAUAAAUGUAACUGUGAUAUUUUUAUUGACAAUGUUGAGUCUUUUUAUAUGGUGAAAAGAUACAAGGGUUGCAUAUUGGGGAAGCAUCAGAAACUGGUGGCUUUUUGCAAAUCACGCAUCUAUUUUCUAACAUUUUCUAAAUGUGAGUCAAAUGAAUCACCACGUUUCAUCACAUUGACCGGGCUAUUCACCAAGGCUGGCCAGCGUCCGGCUACAUAUUCCCAUCAGUGCAGCGCCUAAAUAUCAAUCACCAUCGUUGUAGUUUUUUUUGCGGGGUCCAUCGUUGUAGUUAGUUUACCUCCAAUAUUUCAUGGAACAAGACGAUCGAGAAAGGUGCAGGGUAUGGAUUUAUGUAGGCACCUGUCGUUUUUUUUUGUUUUUUUAGAAAAGGAGGAUGACCCCCGGUCUCUGCAUCUGGAUGAUGCAUGCGGCCACUUUAUUAAUUAUUCUCACAAGACCAUACAAAGUCAUACAACAGCAAGAUUAAAGCCACCGUCUAAGCAAUAACUGUCGCUACACCUAUCCAAUUGAUGAAGGGGCGUUGAUAGCCUGGGCCUAAUACCAAACAGACAUCACAGCCAAACCUAAGACCUGAGGUCCCAACCAGGACGCCUGCCUGAUAUGGGGCACAUACCAGUCCGAUGCACUCCUCAAGCAGGACGCUUGCCGGGUAUGAGGUCGCCGCAACCACCUGCCACGAGUCCAUCUUCAGAGCUGUACUGUUGCAUCUACCGUGCUAGGUCUCUCUGCCAUCGACGCCACCACGACGCCAGACAGCGCCGUCCUCCUACGCGAGUCCAUCCUCCCACAUUGAACUCUGAAUCUGCACUGCACCAUGUCGUCAAGAUCCGUCGCCAUCAAUGUGUAGGAUGAAGCAUCGCUCCACCAAAGAAGCCGUCCGCUGGUCCCGCGAAGCCGAGUGCACCUCCAAGAAUGCCGCCCCAAAGGGGGUUACGACACAUGAAUGCCGCCAACACCCGAUCAGCUGAUCUAGGGUUUCCCCCGGAGGUAUUGAGUGGAGUUGGGAGCUUCACCUUGAUGAUGCCUUCAUGAAGGAAACGAUGAUAAGGGCAUCGUCAUCACCGGCUCCGGCCAUCAACCGAAGACCAGGUUUUCACCCGGAUCUGUCCCAAGAAAUCCACCCAACAACCUGUGCACCGUCUCGACCGCCUUCAAAGCCCCAGAUCCAGCUGCCUAGAUCCAGUGACCAACCGCAGCAACAGUGCCACCGUGGGAUCCCUGGCGCACCGGCCACUGCCUGAGUGUGCCACCACUGGAGCCUAGGAGGAGGGCUCCCACCCCGCCUCGCCAAGCCAUGAGAGCCGCCGAGAAGGAUCCCGCGCGCUCGUCACCGUCUCUGAUCCGAACCAAUCCAAAGCAGAUUGUCGUCACAGAUCUGCCUUGGACAGGGACUGCACCACGCCAUGCCGCCACCCUCCAGGGCCGCCGCCCCAGGAUCCAGACAGAACCUCGCCGCUGCCACCGGCCAAGUUCUGCCACCGCCGACCGACCACUGCGACCUCCGCCGCCAUGCCGCCAACGGAUCUGGGUGAGGAUAGCCAUCCUCCCCGAGGACACAUGCCGCAGCCUCUUCUCCGCGUACUCGCACGAGAAGCCACCGUGGCCGCGUCCCCACCCCUCGCCGGAUGCCGCGCACGUGCCGCCCCGCCGCCGGCGAAGGCCGCCACCAUGAGGAAACCCGCACGCAACCGCUACACAGCUCGGCGUCGACCCAUCUGCAGCCGCGCCAUGGGUCCGCCGCCGUCAAGAUCGUCGCCGCUGCGCCGCCAGGAUCCGCGCGCCCCGGUGCCUCCGCUCGGCCUGGCCGCUCCCGCAGGCCACAAACACGAGGAGGGGAGAAGGCCCCCGCCGCCAGCCACCGCAGGGGGCUUUGCCCCGGCGGCUCUGGUCGGCAGCGGCGGGGAAGGGGAGGAGGAGGAGGGCUAGCGGCAAGGGGUGGCGGCGCCGCCCGUGUCGCCCGCGGGAGGAGCGACGUGGGGGCUACUAUUCAAGACCAUAUCGUACCCUCUUGUUACUAUUUUCAUCUCCUUAAAAAUGGGAGAGAUUUUCACUUCCCGGCCUCUGCACCAACUAAGGAUGCAUACAACCAUUUUAGUAUGAGUAUCAAGAUAAACAUGGUUCUCAGAAUUUUUUAAAUGAGUAUCAAGAUAUUUCUUGAUGAGUGGUUGCACCACACACCAAGCUUGAUCCUCAAUAAACAGGGGAAAAGCCGUGUGCAUCACCUGUCAAUUCUGGGAAUUGAACUUGGGUCGUUGGGUUGCACAACCGCAUACCCAACCACUGAGCCAAGGCUCUCUCUGCAUGUAGGCACCUGUCGUUGCCUAUGUUUAAGAUCUCCCAUUCAAUUUGUGUUUCGGUAGGCACGCCAAACAUAUGUGUUGGCUCUUCGAGUUGGAACAGAAUUAGAGCACCUCCAAUAGAUGGUCCAAAUAUAAAAAUAACUAACUUUUGGACCGUCAGGGGCAAAAAGAACUGCUCCAACAGACGGUCCAUAUGCAAAAAACAAAUUGGACCGUGGCCUCCUUGUGAUGUAAAAUGCAACACCUCGCGAUGCAAAUAUACAUCACGAGAUGCAUCUGGUCCAAAACCAGCCGCCGCCCGCGAACGCCCAACCGCCACUUCAUUUCCGUUCCCGCCCGCCCGCCCGCGACCUCCCGNNNNNNNNNNNNNNNNNNNNNNNNNNNNNNNNNNNNNNNNNNNNNNNNNNNNNNNNNNNNNNNNNNNNNNNNNNNNNNNNNNNNNNNNNNNNNNNNNNNNNNNNNNNNNNNNNNNNNNNNNNNNNNNNNNNNNNNNNNNNNNNNNNNNNNNNNNNNNNNNNNNNNNNNNNNNNNNNNNNNNNNNNNNNNNNNNNNNNNNNNNNNNNNNNNNNNNNNNNNNNNNNNNNNNNNNNNNNNNNNNNNNNNNNNNNNNNNNNNNNNNNNNNNNNNNNNNNNNNNNNNNNNNNNNNNNNNNNNNNNNNNNNNNNNNNNNNNNNNNNNNNNNNNNNNNNNNNNNNNNNNNNNNNNNNNNNNNNNNNNNNNNNNNNNNNNNNNNNNNNNNNNNNNNNNNNNNNNNNNNNNNNNNNNNNNNNNNNNNNNNNNNNNNNNNNNNNNNNNNNNNNNNNNNNNNNNNNNNNNNNNNNNNNNNNNNNNNNNNNNNNNNNNNNNNNNNNNNNNNNNNNNNNNNNNNNNNNNNNNNNNNNNNNNNNNGCCACCGCCCCGCCCUCCACCGCCCCGCCCGCCACCGCCGCCCCGCAGCUCCGCCACAGCUCCGCCCGCCACCGCUGAGGGAGUCCUGGACUAAGGGGUCCUCGGGCGUCCGGCCUGUUAUCUAUUGGGCUGGACUAAUGGGCUGUGAAGACAUGAAGGCCGAAGACUAUACCUAUGUCCGGAUUGGACUCUACUUGGCGUGGAAGGCAAGCUAGGCGACCAACUAUGAAGAUUCCCUAUUAUGUAACCGACCUCGUGUAACCCUAGAUCUCUCCGAUGUCUAUAUAAACCGGAGAGCAUAGUCUGGAUAGGACAGAUUCAUUACCAUAUAGUCAUAGGCUAGACUUCUAGGGUUUAGCCAUUACGAUCUCGUGGUAGAUCAACUCUUGUAACACUCAUAUUCAUCAAGAUCAAUCAAGUAGGAAGUAGGGUAUUACCUCCAUAGAGAGGGCCCGAACCUGGGUAAACAUUGUGUCCCCUGUCUCCUGUUACCAUCAAUCCUAGACGCACAGUUCGGGACCCCCUACCCGAGAUCCGCCGGUUUUGACACCGACAUUGGUGCUUUCAUUGAGAGUUCCUCUGUGCCGUUGAUGAAAGGCUCGAUGGCCCCUUCAAUCGCCGGUAAUGGCGUCGUUCAGGGAGAAACCUUUCUCCCCGGACAAAUCUUUGUGUUCGGCGGCUUCGUACUGCGGGCCAACUCACUUGGCCAUCUGGAGCGGGUCGAUAGCUACGCCCCUGGCCAUCAGGUUAGAUUUGGAAGCUUCAACUACGUCGUGGAUAUCCGUGGAGACUUGAUCUUUGAUGGAUUGGAAACCGCGGCGAUCGCUCCCCUUCUCUCUGAUGAACAUGACUCAAAUCUGUCAUUAGAGCACACCCAGGAGAUGGAUCCUGUUGCUGCAACGGCCUCAUUACCGAAGCAGAUCAUCCCCUCCGAGGCCAUAAAAUCCGCGGCGUUGGAGCCGCAUACGGACUCGACAUCCUGCAAUGCUGGCAUCAAUGGAACUCCGGACUCGUCUCCGGCUACACGUUCCGGAUCAAGUGCGCCUGCGGACACCGAGCCAGAUCGGUUAUCGAUUUUCGAAUUUAGCGCCGCAGACAUCUUCCAGCAUUCGUCUUUGGGUGAAGUACUAAAUUCUUUGAAGAACUUGUCCUUGGAGGAAGACUCACAGCCGAACUAUGUUCGGUUCGAGCUAGAGGCGGACGACGAGGAAUUUUGCUUCCCACCCGCCACCCACUUCAUAGCCACCGUCGACGACUUAACCGACGUGCUUGACUAUGGCUCCGAAGACAUCGAUGAUAUGGACGACGAUGCCGACAGAGAGCAAGGCCAAGACCCGCCAUUCACUGGACAUUGGACGGCCACCUCUUCCUACGACGUAUACAUGGUGGAUACACCAAAAGGAUCGGGCAACGACCAAGAAGAGCCGGAUAAGAAUAAUCCCUCUGAGCAGUCCAAGCGCCGGCGCCCCAAAUGCCGCUCUAAGCCUCGUCGCUCAAAGGAUGGCACCACUAGCACCGGAGAAAAUAGCACUCCGGGCGACGCCGAAAACAAUGAAGACCCUAUCGCCGCCGCAUCCGAACAGGAAGAACACGACAACACGCAAGACAACCCUAACGAACAGGCCAUAGAAGAUGACCCGGAGGACGAUAGUUAUCAUCCACCCUCCAAGGAGGAUACAAGCCUCGGCAACGACGAUUUCAUCGUGCCUCAAGACCCUCUGGAGCAGGAGCGCUUUAAGCUACAACUCAUAGCCACUGCAAGGAGCCUGAAAAAGAAACAACAGCAGCUUCAAGCCGAACAAGAUCUGCUCGUCGACAGAUGGACUGACGUCCUGACAGCUAAAGAAUACGGCCUCAAACGCCCAGCCAAGAGCUACCCAAAACGCAAACUGCUUCCUCAGUUCGAUGAGGAGGCACCAGAUCCCAUACCUCCCUCGCACAAUGCGGACCGACCACAAUGUGGUCGAGACAGAGCGGCGGACCGGCCACCUCGCGGUCGGGAUAAAACGACAACUAAGGCCAAACAGCAGCCCGCCCCACCGCCUCGCAAAAACAGAGACAGACCAGCUCGGGAUCAUACAUACAAUCUCCGGAAGGAAUUGGACAGUAGAGCAGGACAUACAAGAUCGAUCUACGGAUCGCGAGGCCGUGCCUCAAGGCACGACGACGGCUACCUAUUCCGACGUAACAAACCUAGCCACGCCCGGGCCGAAUACCGCAGAUGGAGUCCAUCAGAGCUAUGCCGCGAUGCGGCCCGGUACAGAGGUGCCGCUCACCCCCUCUGCUUCACAGAUGAAGUACUGGAUCACGAAUUUCCCGAGGGAUUCAAACCCGUCAACAUCGAAUCGUACGACGGCACAACCGAUCCCGCAGUAUGGAUCGAGGAUUUCAUCCUCCACAUCCACAUGGCUCGAGGAGAUGAUCUCCAUGCCAUUAAAUACCUCCCACUCAAGCUCAAAGGGCCAGCUCGGCACUGGCUCAAUAGCCUGCCUGAAAAUUCUAUCGGCAGCUGGGAGGACUUGGAAGAAGCUUUCCUGGACAACUUCCAAGGAACUUAUGUCCGGCCACCUAACGCCGAUGACUUAAGCCACAUAGUUCAACAACCUGGAGAAUCAGCCAGAAAAUUCUGGACUAGGUUCCUAACUAAAAAGAACCAGAUCGUUGACUGUCCGGAUGCCGAGGCACUAGCAGCCUUUAAGCACAGCAUCCGUGACGAAUGGCUAGCACGCCACCUCGGCCUAGAAAAGCCAAAGUCCAUGGCAGCCCUCACGACACUCAUGACCCGCUUUUGCGCGGGAGAGGACAGUUGGCUGGCUCGUAGUAACAACACAGCCAGUGAGACAGGCCCCUCUGAGGCCAAAAAUAGCACUGGCAAGCUCCGGCGCAAUAGGCACAAACGCCGAAACAAUGACAGCAACACCGAUGACACCACAGUCCACGCCGGAUUCAGUGGCUCCAAGUCCGGCCAACGGAAGAAGCCCUACAAAAUAAACAAUGAAGGACCUUCCAGCCUGGACUGCAUACUCGACUGUCCGUGCCAAAUACACGGCACCCCGGACAAGCAAGCCAAUCACGCCAACAGGAAUUGUUGGGUUUUCAAGCAGGCCGGCAAGUUAAAUGCCGAAAAUAAAGAAAAGGGAUCACAAAGUGAGGACGAGGACGAAGAGCCCCGGCAGCCGAACACUGGAGGGCAGAAGAAAUUUCCCCCUCAAGUCAAAACGGUGAGCAUGAUAUACGCUACACACAUCCCCAAAAGGGAGCGUAAGCGAGCACUUAGGGACGUCUACGCGGUAGAGCCAGUCGCCCCAAAAUUCAACCCAUGGUCCUCGUUCCCGAUCACCUUCGAUCGUCGAGACCACCCAACUAGUAUCCGCCACGGCGGUUCAGCCGCACUAGUCCUUGACCCAAUUAUUGAUGGGUUCCACCUAACACGAGUCCUGAUGGACGGUGGAAGUAGCCUCAAUCUGCUCUAUCAAGACACAGUACGGAAGAUGGGCAUUGACCCCUCACAAAUCAAACCAACAAAGACUACCUUCAAGGGAGUCAUACUAGGCGUCGAGGCCCGCUGUACGGGCUCAAUCACACUGGAAGUGGUCUUCGGUUCGCCGGACAAUUUCCGAAGUGAGGAGUUAAUCUUCGACAUCGUCCCAUUCCGCAGCGGCUACCACGCAUUGCUCGGACGAACUGCGUUUGCCAGAUUCAACGCAGUGCCACACUAAGCUUAUCUCAAGCUCAAGAUGCCCGGUCCACGCGGCAUCAUAACAGUCAAUGGCAACACGGAACGCUCCCUCCGAACAGAGGAGCACACCGCCGCCCUAGCAGCAGAGGCACAGAGCGGCCUUCUCAAGCAGCACCAUAGUGCGGCCGCCGAGCCCCGGGACACCAUCAAGAGGUUCCGAACUACACUGCAGCAGGACAACACGACUCGUCAAGAGCUCGAUUAGCAAUCCGGCCUCCGUCCCAGUGCCGAUGAAGUAGUGGCAUUCGUACCAUGCGUACAUAAUUACGCACUCGAAAUUCCAUGGACAUCGACAGAGGCACAAGCUAACCCGGGAUCUGCAGUUCGGCUAGACCGACCCCGGACACACUUUUUCCUUUCUGUUUCAGGUUCCUUUUCCAGCGAGCCUGACCACCAGCCCCUUCGAAGGAUCGGCAUACAAAGGAGGCAUGCAGCAUAGGCACAUAGGGUAACCUCCAUAUGCUCUUCUUGACGGUAUUUUUACUUAUUUCCCAGGACCCGCACGUUGCUCCUUCUUGAUCACGGCAUGUUAAAUAGUCCGGGUGCUUAUCGCACUAUUUGUAUAAGAUACGCCUUGACGUAUCCAUUCAGUUAUAAUAAAAAUGAUUUGCGGCCUAGUUCUGUGGUUUUCGCCUCUUACUUCAUUUUAUUUUGAUCUGCUUAUCAGCUACAUCGGUACUCUUUUGUACGUUUAAUAUUCGCCAGGGGCUGCUCAUCACCCCACAAUACGGCAGCGAAGUCCGAAUACUUUUUAUAUAUAAGUUUGGCGCCCUGAAUUUAGCAUUAUAUGCAUUGGCUCCAAAUCAUGUCUUUGGUCAAUAGUUGGGUUGCCCGGCUCCUGUGCUUGCUACCCUAUGUUCUGCUCUAUCGGCUAGGGUAGUAAAGGGAGAACUACUGCGAUUGUGCCCUGGCCUUGACCGGAUGAGCACCUCAGUAGAGAAAGCCGAAAACUGACUGUCAUGAUACAGCGAGAGCCGAUCAGCUGUUCGAGGGUUAUAAAAUCGUUGGAGAUUUCUUCCGCGUCACGCGAAGGAUCGACACUUCCUCAGACGCUGACAGCAUCCUGGCCUGGACCAGGGGCUGCGCGCGUGCUUAAUUAUAAAACUCCUAUGGCUAAGUGAGGGCGUUUAAGCCGUACAGUCUGGUUGCCUUGUUCGUUGUGCUAAACAACUCCUUCUAAGGACCAUAUAAUUGGAUCAAGAUUGUUUAGAUCCCAUCCCGAACACCUCCGUACUACCUACGUGAGGGCAGAAGCCGACGACUGGCCAACCCUCAGAUUCUAAAUAACACGGCUGCACGGGAGGAAACAAUUCAAGCAUAAUAAUAUUAUAUUCCGGGCUUUGUUUCCAUAAUACAAUGCGUGGGCAACAUGAAUACAUUCAUUCAAAAAUAAUGUCCUGCGAACAUUGAGCUGCCACAAGUCGAGACCCUUCUAGGACAUCCGCAAAAUAUUUCUCGGGUGUGCGGUGCUCCUUGCCCUCUGGCAACUUCAACAGCAUUCAUCUUCGCCCACCACAUCUUGCAACGAGCGAAGGCCAUACGAGCAUCUUCUAUACAGGCGGAGCGCUUGACGACCUCCAGCCGCGGGCAUGCUUCCACUAGCCGCCUCACGAGUCCGAAGUAGCUGCCGGGCAUAGCUUCGGCUGGCCAUAGACGGAUUGCCAAAUCCUUCACGGCUAGCUCGGCCACCCUGUGCAGCUCCACCAGCUGCUUCAGCUGAUUGGUGAAGGACACGGGAUGCCCUGGUGUCGCAUACUGCGUCCAGAAAAGCUUCUCCGUCGAACCUCCUCCUUCGGCUCGGUAGAACUCGGCAGCGUCUAAUACACUACGUGGUAAAUCCGCAAAAGCCCCUGGGGAACUCCGAACCCGGGUUAGUAAAAGGAAUUGCUUCUCCGCAUACUUUCUUUGCAUCUUAAAAGCCUUACCCGCCGUGAUCUUCCUAGCCUCCAGAAUCUCCUAGAGGGCGGCCUGGGCCUCAUUCCGUGCAGUAUCCGCGCUCUGACGAGCCUUGGAGAGUUCGGCCUUUUGAGCCGACGCAUCGUUUCCAAGGUCUCACAUUUUUUCACCGCGUCUUGGAGCUCCUGUUGGACCUCCUUGACUCGAGCCUCGAGCUUUUUCCGAGCGGUUUGCUGCUCGACGGCCUUCCCCUCGGCUUCGGCCAGAGCCUUUUUUAGGGCAUCCACCUCGGUUGCGGCUCCUGCACAUAUUUCGACAUUGCGGUCAGUACGCAACGCUUGUUCUUUCCGAACACACAGCAAGAUGUUACUCACCUUGCUUCUCCUGAAGCCGCAUUGUAACCUCGUCGAGCUCGUUCUCGGUCCGCUCUAGCUUCUGCUUUAAUUCAGAAACUUCGGCAGCAUGCAAGGUCGCGGCCAACAGUGACGCCUGCUUAUGCAUACAUGUUAUGUUAGUCUCCUACAACAAGAGUAUUGAUCCUCUGUCCGGUUCUUCUAUCCGAACACCGGACAGUGUCUCAGGGGCUACUGACUACACGGGGAUUUUUUCUCUUUCUAUAUCAGUUACCUCAAAACCUGUUAACAGGCUGCCGCAGGCCUCAUUCAGUCCGCUCUUGGUGGACAGAACCUUCUCGAUCACCGCACCCAUAAGGACACGGUGCUAAUCUACGACGGAGGCGCUUCGUAGCGUCCCCAUCAGAUCAUCCGACGCUCCUGGAUGGACAGGAGCCAUCGGUGGAGGCGGCACACCCCCCUCCUACAAAGGGAACUGCUCGCCCGACUCCGGAGCCAUAUGGGACUCCGGAACCGUAUUUGGCUGAGGGCCGAUCUAGAUACGGCCCUCUCCGCCAGUCUCCAUGGGGAUUGGAUCCCCCAUGUGUCCGGCAGUGGAGGUCUCGCCUUGUGGCGUCUCCCGAACAACGUCUGGGGCUCCUCCCUUCAGAGCGGUCCUUCGGGACAGCACUUCGGUGUCGUCCCUGGCCCCGGGGGAGUAAGCAGGCGGUGGCGACCUACUCGCCAUCUCCGAUGAAGCCAACGAACCUCCAGAGGAGGAUUGCUGGAUAAGAUCACGGGCCGGACUGCACUGGUGUAGUUAACCAUGUUAAAAUAAUAAAGAGGAAGAGGGGAUGCGCGCAUCCAUAAGCUGUGUCACUGAUAACCCACAAGUAUAGGGGAUCAAUUGUAGCCUCUUUCGAUAAGUAAGAGUGUCGAACCCAACGAGGAGCUAAAGGUAGAACAAAUAUUCCCUCAAGUUCUAUCGACCACCGAUACAACUCUACGCACGCUUGACGUUCGCUUUACCGGAAACAAGUAUGAAACUAGAAGUACUUUGUAGGUGUUGUUGGAUAGGUUUGCAAGAAGAUAAAGAGCGCGUAAAUAUAAACUAGGGGCUGUUUAGAUAAAGACACAACUAAAUUAGUUUUAAUAGAGAGCUUUUUGUUACAACAAAGUUAUUUGUCCCUAGGCAAUCGAUAACUAGACCGGUAAUCAUUAUUGCAAUUUUAUUUGAGGGAGAGGCAUAAGCUAACAUACUUUCUCUACUUGGAUCAUAUGCACUUAUGAUUGGAACUCUAGCAAGCAUCCGCAACUACUAAAGAUCAUUAAGGUAAAACCCAACCAUAACAUUAAAGUACCAAGUCCUCUUUAUCCCAUACGCAAACAACCUACUUACUCGGGUCUGUGCUUCUGACACUCACGCCACCCACCAUAAGCAAAUCAUGAACAUAUUGCAAACCCUACAGCGGGGAUCCCUCACGCUUGCGCGACACGGAGAGCACCAUAUGAAAGCACCAAUAAUAAAACAUGCAACUCAAACCAAUCUUGAUCAUCAAAUAACCCAUAGGACAAAACGGAUCUACUCAAACAUCAUAGGAUAGCCAUACAUCAUUGGGAAAUAAUAUAUAGCGUUGAGCACCAUGUUUAAGUAGAGAUUAUAGCGGGUAAGAGAGAGGUUACACCGCUGCAUAGAGGGGGGAAGAGUUGGUGAUGAUGGCGGUGAAGUUGUUGGUGAAGAUUGCGGUGAUGAUGAUGGCCACGACAGCGUUCCGGCGCUACCAGAAGAGGAGGGGAGAGGGGGCCCCUUCGUCUUCUUCUUCCUUGACCUCCUCCCUAGAUGGGAGAAGGGUUUCCCCUCUGGUCCUUGGCCUCCAUGGCGUAGGAGGGGCGAGAGCCCUCCGAGAUUGGAUCUAUCUCUCUGUCUCUCUCUGUUUCUGCGUUCUCUUCUGGUGCCCUUUCACCGUUUCGUAUAUAUAUGGAGAUCCGUAACUCCAAUUGGCCUGAAACCUUCGCCGUGAUUUUUUUUACCAAAAAUUAGCUUUCUUGCGACCGAAGAAGGGCAUCAACCGCCUUACGGGUGGACCACGAGGGUCAGGGGCGCGCCCCCCUACCUCGUGCCCACCUCGGACACCGUUUCGCGUUGAUCUUUCUCCCAGAUUUUCCAAAUAUUCCAAAAAUAAGCUCCGUCCGUUUUUAUCUCGUUUGGACUCCGUUUGAUAUGGGGUUUCUGCGAAACAUAAAACAUGCAACAAACAGGAACUGGCACUGGGCACUGGAUCAAUAUGUUAGUCCCAAAAAUAAUAUAAAAAGUUGCCAAAAGUAUAUGAAAGUUGAAUAAUAUUGGCAUGGAACAAUAAAAAUUUAUAGAUACGACGGAGACGUACCAGCAUCCCCAAGCUUACUUCCUGCUCGUCCUCGAGUAGGUAAAUGAUAAAAAAGAAAUUUUUUGAUGUGGAAUGCUACCUAGCAUAAUCUUGAUCAUGUAUCUAAUCAUGGGAUGAAUAUUAAGACAUGAGUGAUUCAAAGCAAUAGUCUAUCAUUUGACAUAAAAACAAUAAUACUUCAAGCAUACCAACCAAGCAAUUAUGUCUUAUUGAAAUAACAUAGCCAAAGAAAGCUCAUCCCUACAAAAUCAUAUAGUCUGGCUAUGCUCCAUCUUCACCACACAAAAUAUUCACAUCAUGCACAACCCCUAUGACAAGCCAAGCAAUUGUUUCAUACUUUUGAUGUUUCUCAAACCUUUUCAACUUUCACGCAAUACAUGAGCGUGAGCCAUGGACAUAGCACUAUAGGUGGAAUAGAAUAUGAUGAUGGGGGUUAUGCGGAGAAGACAAAAAGGAGAAAGUUUCACAUCGAUGCGGCUAAUCAACGGGCUAUGGAGAUGCCCAUCAAUUGAUGUCAAUGUGAGGAGUAGGGAUUGCCAUGCAACGGAUGCACUAGAGCUAUAAGUGUAUGAAAGCUCAAACUGAAACUAAGGGGGUGUGCAUCCAACUUGCUUGCUCAUGAAGACCUAGGGCAUUUGAGGAAGCCCAUCGUUGGAAUAUACAAGCCCAGUUCUAUAAUGAAAAUUCCCACUAGUAUAUGAAAGUGAUAACUCAAGAGACACUCUAUAUGAAGAAAAUGGUGCUACUUUUAAGCACAAGUGUGGUAAAAGGAUAGUAACAUUGCCCUUCUCUCUUUUUCUCUCAUUUUUUUUGUUUCCUUUUUUUUCUCUUUUUUUGGCCUUCUCAUUUUUUGGCCUUUCUCUCUUUUUUUAUUUUUUUUAUUUUUUUUCGUCCGGAGUCUCAUCCCGACUUGUGGGGGAAUCAUAGUCUCCAUCAUCCUUUCCUCACUGGGGCAAUGCUCUAAUAAUGAUGAUCAUCACACUUUUAUUUACUUACAACUCAAUAUUACAACUCGAUAUCUAGAACAAAGAUAUGACUCUAUAUGAAUGCCUCCGGCGGUGUACCGGGAUGUGCAAUGAUCUAGCGUAGCAAUGACAUAAAAAAACGGACAAGCCAUGAAAACAUCAUGCUAGCUAUCUUACGAUCAUGCAAAGCAAUAUGACAAUAAAUGCUCAAGUCAUGUAUAUGAUGAUGGAAGUUGCAUGGCAAUAUAUCUCGGAAUGGCUAUGGAAAUGCCAUAAUAGGUAGGUAUGGUGGCUGUUUUGAGGAAGAUAUAAGGAGGUUUAUGUGUGAUAGAGCGUAUCGUAUCACGGGGUUUGGAUGCACCGGCGAAGUUUGCACCAACUCUCGAGGUGAGAAAGCGCAAUGCACGGUACCAAAGAGGCUAGCAAUGAUGGAAGGGUGAGAGUGCGUAUAAUCCAUGGAAUCAACAUUAGUCAUAAAGAACUCACAUACUUAUUGCAAAAGUCUAUUAUCUAUCGAAACAAAGUACUACGCGCCUGCUCCUAGGGGGAUAGAUUGGUAGGAAAAGACCAUCGCUCGUCCCCGACCGCCACUCAUAAGGAAGACAAUCAAUAAACACCUCAUGCUCCAACUUUGUUACAUAACGGUUCACCAUACGUGCAUGCUACGGGACUUGCAAACCUCAACACAAGUAUUUCUCAAUUUCACACUAACCAUGUGAAUGACCAGUUCCUGUCAUCUCUCUAAAUAGAUAUAAGUGAAGCACGAGAGUUUAAUUCUUUCUACAAAAGAUAUGCCCACGCUCUAACAAAUAUAAGUGAAGCAAAAGAGCAUUCUACAAAUGACGGUUGUCUAUGUAAAGAGAAACAGGCAAUCCAAGCUUCAAAUGAUAUAAGUGAAGCACAGGAAGCAUUCUAUAAAGCCAUACUCAAAAGAUAUAAGUGAAGUGCAAUGAGCAUUCUAUAAAUCAACCAAGGACUAUCUCAUACCAGCAUGGUGCAUAAAAGUAAAAGUGAAAACUAAAUGCAAAAGACGCUCCAAGAUUUGCACAUAUCAUAUGAAUGAAACGAAUCCGAAAACAUACCGAUAUUUGUUGAAGAAAGAGGGGAUGCCUUCCGGGGCAUCCCCAAGCUUAGACGCUUGAGUCUCCUUGAAUAUUUACUUGGGGUGCUUUGGGUAUCCGCAAGCUUGAGCUCUUGCCUCUCUUCCUUCUUCUCACAUCGAGACCUCCUCGAUCAUCGAACACUUCAUCCACACAAAACUUCAACAGAAAACUCGGUAAGAUCCGUUAGUAUAAUAAAGCAAAUCACUACUCUAAGUACUGUUGAAAACCAAUUCGUAUUUUGUUUUUUCAUUGUGUCUAAUGUAAUAUAGCUUUUCCAUGGCUUAAUCCACUGAUAUAAAUUGAUAGUUUCAUCAAAACAAGCAAACUAAGCAUCAAAAACAGAAUCUGUCUAAAACAGAACAGUCUGUAAUAAUCUGAACAUUCACCAUACUUCUGUACUUGAACAAUUCUGCCAAAAUUAGGUAAAAUAAAUUUUUUAUAUAUAAAGACAGUGCAAAAAGAAUCAGAACCAUUUGACGUUCCAGUAAAAAAUUAAAAAUCGCGCACUGCAGCCAAAGUUUCUGUCCUGCACCAUACAAACCAACAAGUAUUGUAAACAUCCUAAAGGCAAACCUUGGCAUAUUAUUUUUAUAAUACAAUGGAAUUGUACAAGGGGAUAAUUAUUUUUGUUGAAAAGUUUCUGUAAUCAAGAUUCACAAAGUUGCCGUGAGCAUGAACAAAGUUCAAGGAGCUCUCCCACUUCAACAAUGCUUGUCUUUCUCACUUUCAAUUUUCUUUUUGAAAAGUUUUGGGUUCCCCUCUUUAUUUUUGUUGUUUUUAAAAUAUAUGAAAGCACUCAACAGAAAUAAAUGACUCUCUAAAAAUUCCGGGUUGUCUCCCUGGCAGCGCUUUCUUUAAAUCCAUUAAGCUAGGCAUAUAGUGCUCAAGUAGUGAAUCCACCCGGAUCCCAAGGUAUAUCAAAGCCAAUUUUAAUUAGCAAUGAUUUGUAAUUUAGUAGUGAGAACAAAGUAACAUAUAUCAUGUAAUGACGAAGUCUAACUCUCUUCCUAUGCAUCGGCAUGUCAUAAAAGAACAAUUCAUGCACACAUAGUAAAGGCCAAUGCAUAGCAUAAACAGUUUCUUGCAAUUUUAUCGUGUUGGAAACAUAGAGAGGUGGAGAUAUAGUUCCUCUCUCAUAAUAAUUGCAAGUAGGAGCAGCAAGCACAUGCAUAUAAUAUUCAUCAAAAUCAUCAUGUGCAAUGGUACAAGGCAACCCAUCAAUAUAAUCCUUAAUAAGCACAAACUUCUCCGAUAUAGUGUAGUUUGGAGAAUUCAAAAAGAUAAUAGGACUAUCAUGUGUGGAUGCAAUAGCAACAAUUUCAUGUUUAACGUAAGGAACUAUAGCAAGUUCAUCUCCAUAAGAAUAAUUCAUAUUGGCAUCUUGGCACAAGCAUAGCAAGCAUCAUAAAAAAGGGAAAUUUCAAGAGAAUCAACGGGAUCAUAAUAGUCAUCAUAGCAAUCAUCCUUCGGUAAGCACGAAGGGAAAUUAACCAAUGUAUGAGUUGGAGAGUUACUCUCAUUAGAAGGUGGGCACGGGUAGCUAAUCCGCUCUUCCUUCUUUUGUUCUUCGCUGUCCUCAUCAUCUUUUUCAUCCAAUGAGCUCACAGUUUCAUCAAUUUCUUCUUCCAUAGAUUCCUGCAAAAUAUUAGUCUCUUCUUGGACAGUGGAGACUUUCUCAAUAAGUGCAUUAAUAUCGAAAUUGUAUUCAUAAUUCUCAUAAAAAUAUUUAAGGAUAGCUAAAUUUUCAGGUCUAUAAACCGAAUCAUCAAAAUCUUUAAACAUAGAUUCAAUUUCAUAAGCACCCAUAAAAGCAACAAAUUCUUCUAUUUGUUCCACAUCAUAGUAAUCAUAUAUACCAUUAGCAUAAGAAGCUAAGGUUUUAUUAUCAUUAAAUUCGCAUGGAAAGGGAAGGUGUGGAGACUUCAUCCUAGAGCAACAAGUAUAAUCAUAUCUCAAGCAUAGUUGCCUAGCAUACCAAUACAACAUAUAAAUUUGAUCCCAUAAUAGUUUCCCUUUUUGAGUCAAGCGAUAAUCCCUGAAGUAUUCACGUUGAUCCAACGUUACCCCCAUUACCAAAUUGAAUGGGGUUUUCUCUGGAUUAUCAAAGUAGUACAUAAUAUCUGUCACAUAACAAGCAUCGAGGGUUUUAGGAGGUUCCUCAUCUCCAUGAGCAGCAAGUACACCUAAUUUUUUUUGGUAUUUCGUGUUCCAUAUUCAUAACUAAAGAUAGAGAACAACUAAGAACAGAAAAUAAAAAUUACUUAGUGAUAAAGCAAACAAGCACACACGAGAAUAUUCACCCCACGCUAUUGCUCCCCGGCAACGGCGCCAGAAAAAGGUCUUGAUAACCCACAAGUAUAGGGGAUCAAUUGUAGCCUCUUUCGAUAAGUAAGAGUGUCGAACCCAACGAGGAGCUAAAGGUAGAACAAAUAUUCCCUCAAGUUCUAUCGACCACCGAUACAACUCUACGCACGCUUGACGUUCGCUUUACCGGAAACAAGUAUGAAACUAGAAGUACUUUGUAGGUGUUGUUGGAUAGGUUUGCAAGAAGAUAAAGAGCGUGUAAAUAUAAACUAGGGGCUGUUUAGAUAAAGACACAACUAAAUUAGUUUUAAUAGAGAGCUUUUUGUUACGAGAAAGUUAUUUGUCCCUAGGCAAUCGAUAACUAGACCGGUAAUCAUUAUUGCAAUUUUAUUUGAGGGAGAGGCAUAAGCUAACAUACUUUCUCUACUUGGAUCAUAUGCACUUAUGAUUGGAACUCUAGCAAGCAUCCGCAACUACUAAAGAUCAUUAAGGUAAAACCCAACCAUAGCAUUAAAGUAUCAAGUCCUCUUUAUCCCAUACGCAAAUAACCUACUUACUCGGGUCUGUGCUUCUGACACUCACGCCACCCACCAUAAGCAAAUCAUGAACAUAUUGCAAACCCUACAGCGGGGAUCCCUCAUGCUUGUGCGACACGGAGAGCACCAUAGGACAGAACCAAUAAUAAAACAUGCAACUCAAACCAAUCUUGAUCAUCAAAUAACCCAUAGGACAAAACGGAUCUACUCAAACAUCAUAGGAUAGCCAUACAUCAUUGGGAAAUAAUAUAUAGCGUUGAGCACCAUGUUUAAGUAGAGGUUACAGCGGGUAAGAGAGAGGUUACACCGCUGCAUAGAGGGGGGAAGAGUUGGUGAUGAUGGCGGUGAAGUUGUUGGUGAAGAUUGCGGUGAUGAUGAUGGCCACGGCAGCGUUCCGGCGCCACCGGAAGAGAAGGGGAGAGGGGGCCCCUUCAUCUUCUUCUUCCUUGACCUCCUCCCUAGAUGGGAGAAGGGUUUCCCCUCUGGUCCUUGGCCUCCAUGGCGUGGGAGGGGCGAGAGCCCCUCCGAGAUUGGAUCUAUCUCUCUGUCUCUCUCUGUUUCUGCGUUCUCUUCUGGUGCCCUUUCAUCGUUUUGUAUAUAUAUGGAGAUCCGUAACUCCAAUUGGCCUGAAACCUUCGCCGUGAUUUUUACCAAAAAUUAGCUUUCUUGCGGCCGAAGAAGGGCAUCAACCACCUUACGGGUGGACCACGAGGGUUAGGGGCGCGCCCAGGAAGGUGGGGCGCGCCCCCUACCUCGUGCCCACCUCGGACACCAUUUCGCGUUCAUCUUUCUCCCAGAUUUUCCAAAUAUUCCAAAAAUAAGCUCCGUCCGUUUUAUGCCGUUUGGACUCUGUUUGAUAUGGGGUUUCUGCAAAACAUAAAACAUGCAACAAACAGGAACUGGCACUGGGCACUGGAUCAAUAUGUUAGUCCCAAAAAUAAUAUAAAAAGUUGCCAAAAGUAUAUGAAAGUUGAAUAAUAUUGGCAUGGAACAAUAAAAAAUUAUAGAUACUACGGAGACGUAUCAGUCACUCACGAGGCGGCCUGAGGCUUAGUGCGGGGGUGUCGAUCCGGACUGCUGUCAACGUCCCAUGCGGUGUUGGCCGCUGGGACGCCCUUCCCCUUCUUGGGCGCUUCCUCCUUCGGAUGCGCUGAAGCCGCCCUCUUCUUCUUCUUCUUCUCAGGGGGAGGAUUGUUUUCUUCCUCCUCCUCUUCUUCCUCGUCAUCGUCUUCAGGGACGGAGGAAUGGGUCUCGUCGUCUUCGGACGGCGCGUCCGAAGCGCCCUGACGAUGGGGGCCACUCUUGGCCCCCUUGGCUUUCCCCUUGGCCUUCUUCUCCAGCGCCUUAUAUGGCACCGGUACCAGCAUCUUCGCUAAACGCGGGAUGACUGGUUCUUCCGGCAAUGGAGCCGGACACUGGAUCCACGUCGCCCUCUCCGUCCAGUCCUAAAAGAGCAAUAAUAAAAGCUCAGGCACCGCCCAUGCAACAAACAGGCAGGGAAUGCACUAAAAAGACAUACCUCACUAGCAGGAUGCUUAGCGUCGUGUCCACGAUCGGAAUCUGCGGCCAGCGGUUUUUCGUUGCCCUUAAAUAGCAACUUCCACGCGUCCUCGUGAGUAGUCCCGAAGAGCAUUACCAAGGUCAGGUGCUUCUUCGGAUUGAACUCCCACAAAGGGCAGCUUCGGCGUUGGCACGGGAGAAUCCGGCGAACUAACAUCACCUGGAUUACAUCUACGAGCUUGACGUCCUUGACUAUCAUGCUUUCAACGCGCGUCUGCAGCGCUAUUACCUCGUCGGACGAACCCCGGUCGGGGCUCUUCUCGACCCAAGAGGUGAGCCGCAUGGGAGCACCAGAGCGGAAUUUGGCAGCCGCGGCCCAGGUGGUGCCGCAGGGUUCUGUGUUGAGAACCAUUGUCUCUGCCACUCGUUCACUGUCUCCACAAAAAUGCCUUUCGGCCAGGAGACGUUGGGCAGCUUGCUCACCAUGGCUGCUCCGCACUCCGCGUGCUGGCCGUCUACCACCUUCGGCUUCACGUUGAAGACUUUGAGCCACAACCCGAAGUGGGGGUGAAUGCAGAGGAAGGCCUCGCACACGACGAUAAACGCUGAAAUGUUGAGGAAAUAAUUCGGGGACAGAUUAUGGAAAUCCUCCCCGUAGUAAUAUAUCAGCCCGCGGACGAAGGGGUGGAUGGGGAACCCCAGCCCGCAGAAGAAAUGAGGGAGGAAUACUACCCUCUCGUUGGGCUCCGGCGUGGGAAUGAUUUGCCCCUCGGCCGGCCAGCGGUGGGCGAUUCCCUUCGCCAAAUAUCCGGCCGCCCGGAGCUCAGUAAUGUCCUCCUCCGCGACGGAGGAGACCAUCCACUUGCCCUGACCACCAGAUCCGGACAUGGUUGCUUGAGUGGAAAGGAGAUUGGAACUUGGGCGCUGGAGCUCGAAGAUCGGGAAGGCAGAGAUAGAGAGAAAGCGUGAGAAGAGGAAGGGGGAAUCCUUAUCUCCUUAUAAAGGUAGCCAAUAUUAAACGCCUCCUCACUCGCCUUGAGAUUCGCCUAUUCCCAAGGGCCGUGCAGAUGGCACGGUUGGGUUACCCAUGCCUGCAUUGAUGAGAAUCCCGCGAUAAGGGGACACGAUCUCUGCUUCGACGAGACAUGCCAAUAGCAACCACGUCUCGAAAUGUGGGGUGGCAGAUGAAAAACGGUUCGAUUAUGAUCGGGCAGACGCAAUGUCGUGUUUCGAAGAGCUGUCAACAGAUUAGAUUCGUGACAGUAUUAUAUCCUCUCUGCGGUUGUGUGUGGAACAUGUUACAGGUCCGGAUACAAUCAUCACAUCCGAAGACUAUCAUGGAGUUCGGAGGAAGGGGAACCCACCUUGCAAUGCCGAAGACAAUCUGCACACCGGACUCCUCGUCAUUGAAGCCAGGUUCAGGGGCUACUAAGGGAGUCCUGUAUUAAGGGGUCCUCGGGCGUCCGGCCUGUUAUCUAUUGGGCCGGAGUAAUUGGCUGUGAAGACAUGAAGGCCGAAGACUAUACCUAUGUCCGGAUUGGACUCUACUUGCUGUGGAAGGCAAGCUAGGCGACCAACUAUGAAGAUUCCCUAUUAUGUAACUGACGUCGUGUAACCCUAGAUCUCUCCGGUGUCUAUAUAAACUGGAGAGCAUAGUCCGGAUAGGACAGAUUCAUUACCAUAUACUCAUAGGCUAGACUUCUAGGGUUUAGCCAUUACGAUCUCGUGGUAGAUCAACUCUUGUAACACUCAUAUUCAUCAAGAUCAAUCAAGCAGGAAGUAGGGUAUUACCUCCAUAGAGAGGGCCCGAACCUGGGUAAACAUUGUGUCCCCCGUCUCCUGUUACCAUCGAUCCUAGACGCACAGUUCGGGACCCCCUACCCGAGAUCCGCCGGUUUUGACACCGACAACCGCCCCGGCCGCACGCCGCUCCACCGCUCUCCAAUGGCGCCAAAGAAGACACCGAAGGGCAAGUCGGGCUUCUUCGGCGUGAGGCAGAAGCCCUCCGGCAACUGGGGUGUGGAGUUCUCCGAUGCCGGAAGGCGUUGGUGGAUCGGCACGUACCCCUCCGCCCACGAGGCCGCGCAUGCCUACGACGUGGCGGUGUGGCGUGCCAAGAGGCCUCGGUCGCACCUCAACUUUCCAGAGAUCGAGAGUCGGGCGGAAGCGGAGAUGCUAGUGCCGCAGGGCAUCAACAUGAAGGAGAUCACGACGAAAAAGAAGAAGACGAAGAAGCCGUCGGUUGUCGUCAUUGCUGGCGAGACUGAUGAGGAGGCGAUGGCGAGGUUUGCUCGGGAGCAUCCGGAGUACGUCCAGGCUGAAAUGGAGUACUACUGGAUGCGUGAGGCGGAGCAGAAGAAGAAGGGGCCGAAGGAGGAUGAGGCCGGUCCCUCGACGGUGAUCCCCAUCGAGUCCUCUUCCGAGGAGGACUGGGAAGACUUCUCGGAGGAGGAGGAGGAGGAGGGGUGCGACGACCCGAUGAAGGAGGAGUUCUGGGAGCAGUUCCGUAGCUCCGAUGAGGAGUAGUUUAUCUAGUAGUUUGAAUAAGUAGUAGUUGAAGUUGAUGUAUGAAACUAUGUUAAAUUUGAUGUUUGAACUAUGUUGAAUGGACUAGUAGUAUGUCGUUUUACAUCUUCAUUUUGGACCAUCUAUUGGAGUUGCUCUUUUGGACCAUCAAUUUGGAACAUCUAUUGGAGUUGAGCUUUUUUCGGAGCUCCAAAAUGCACUUUUUGACGGUCCAAAUUUUACAUCUUCGGUUUUGGACCGCCAAAUUUUGGACCAUAUAUUCGAGAUGCUCUUAAUGCAUGAUCGAGCCUGCAUCAAACCUCUUUUAUUCUUCACCUAAACCACACACACUUUCCUUUUGUUAUUUCUAUAUAAGCAGUACACGAUGCUGGGAUGAGGUUCAUAGCUCUUUUUGUUUUUGGAUUAAUCUCAACAUGAAAAUAUGUAAAAGUAACUUGACCAAAUAGAUAUACCAUUGUCAACCUUGCUGCCAAAAUCCUGAAUCACACAGUCUAUGUUGACCCCGCAUGCAUUUGGCAUGUAGGAAUGGGAAGCACUGAACCACACACACCCAUUGCGUUGUUCUAGAUUUUUGAGAAAGAUACACCCUUGGCCCUUAAAGGUAGGAACAUUUCAGUCCAUUUUACCUCUAAAUAGUGAAAUCUGUUGGGAUUUGUUAGUAGGCCUUUGGCCCAAAGCCCAACUAAAUUUCUGAAAUUCUCAUGGCCCAUUCAUGCAUGGUUGUGAGUGGUGUGAGUGAGACUAAGUUUAGUCCCACCCCGAAAGUUGAGUGGGAGUUGCACCUCUUUAUAAGGUGAACUCUUCUAUCACUUGUAAGAGCAUGAGAAGAGGAGACCUACAUGCGCGCUCCUCCUCCUCCUCACUCGCCAUGCCGCCAAGCCACGUGUCGGCGUGCACCGCGAGAAGGGACAGCAGGCCUCCGAAACCCCGCUUCUCAUGAUCCUGUACGGGAGAGGGGCCGAUCAGGUUUCUGGGGAGAGCGACUGCUCGGUGCUGCUCCCGUUGCACCGUAUGUGAUUCUGUCCUUCUUGUUCGAGAUCGUGGUAGAAUUCAUGUUUCUAGUAUGUGCCCUAGAUUCGAUCUUUUCAUCUACUAUGAUACUCUGCAUGAUUAGUUCAAUCUCUGUUAUUGCUGUCAUGAUUUAUUUUGUGCUGAUCGUAGGCAAAUUACUCCGAGUGGUUUUGCUGCGCAUCUAAAGCUGUUGGGGAACAUAGUAAUUUCAAAAAAAUUCCUACGCACAUGCAAGAUCAUGGUGAUGCAUAGCACCGAGAUGGGAGAGUGUUGUCUACGUACCCUCGUAGAUCAAAAGCGGAAGCGUUAUGACAACGCGGUUGAUGUAGUCGUACGUCUUCACGAUCCGACAGAUCCUAGUACCGAAAGUACGGCACCUCCGCGAUCUGCACACGUUCAGCUCGGUGACGUCCCACGAACUCUUGAUCCAGCUGAGUGUCGAGGGAGAGCUUCAUCAGCACGACGGCGUGAUGACGGUGAUGAUGAAGCUACCGGUGCAGGGCUUCGCCUAAGCACUGCAACAAUAUGACCGAGGUGGAUUAUGGUGGAGGGGGGCACCGCACACGGCUAAGACAAUGUCUGUUGUUGUGUUCUAGGGUGCCCCCUGCCCCCGUAUAUAAAGGAGCAAGGGGGGAGGCCGGCCGGCCCUUGGGCGCGCUAAGGAGGGGAGGAGUCCUCCUCCUAGUAGGAGUAGGACUCCCCCUUUCCUAGUCCUACUAGGAGGGGGGAAGGGGAAAGGAAGGAGAGGGAGAGAGGGAGGGAAAGAGGGGGUGCUGAGGGAGUCCUGGACUAAGGGGUCCUCGGGCGUCCGGCCUGUUAUCCAUGGGCCGGACUAAUGGGCUGUGAAGACAUGAAGGCCGAAGACCGUACCCGUGUCCGGAUAGGACUCUCCUUGGCGUGGAAGGCCAGCCUUUGCGACCAACUAUGAAGAUUCCUUCUUAUGUAACCGACUCUAUGUAACCCUAGAUCCCCCCGGUGUCUAUAUAAACCGGAGGGUGUAGUCCGGAAAGGAUAGACUCAUUACCAUAGUCAUACAUGCUAGACUUCUAGGGUUUAGCCAUUACGAUCUCGUGGUAGAUCAACUAUUGUAAUACUCAUAUUCAUCAAGACCAAUCAAGCAGGAAGUAGGGUAUUACCUCCAUAGAGAGGGCCCGAACCUGGGUAAACAUCGUGUCCCCUGUCUCCUGUAACCAUCGACCCUAGACGCACAGUUCGGGACCCCCUACCCGAGAUCCGCCGGUUUUGACACCGACAUUGGUGCUUUCAUUGAGAGUUCCACUAUGACGUCGACGACAGGAUCGAUGGCUCGCCUUGUCCUUAAAGACAACAUCACCUCCGGGGGAGUAUUGGCCCCGGGCCAAACCCUCCGGAUGGGCGGCUUUACCAUGAUCGCCCGUUCGGCCGUUGAGCCGACGAUGACCUCUCGGGCCAUCGAAAAUCCCCUUCGCAUCAACUCCGAACACUCCAAGCAGAUGGAUCCGGCAGAGUUUUCAUCCUUGAACGACCUCCUAGAUCGCAUCACCGCUUUGGGAAUCACCAUAGAUUACGAUCGGAUCGGGCCUAAAACCGAUCAAGGAGAAAUCAAAACUCCACCAGUCACCUGCCAGAUAGCGGUAGUGGAGGAGCAGGACGGCGAGUCUUCUUCUAUAUCAAAGACGGACUAUGUUCGGAUCGCCGAUCAGGAAGAACCGGAUACCCACCAGCGAAAGGAUGCGACCAUCCCUCUGAACAUAGAAUCGGACGGCAGUCCUAAACAAUCAGAAGAUACUCCGAAGCCCGGACUGUUGAGUCUGGAAGGUCUUCAGACUCCGGAUAAUCGGUCAGGUCAGGGUUCGGAUUUAAUUCCGCCCACCCACCCGGACAUAGACGCUCUCAUGAGCAUAAAACAACAGUCUCAGGAAAUGGUCCACCACUUCUGGGCCAGAUUCCUCCUUGUCAAAUACAAGGUAAAAGAUUGCCGCGACGAGGACGCGAUAUCAGCGUUCUGCAACAAUUGCGUGGACGAAGGAAUCCUCAACGCCAUCAAUCGCCGCCGCAUACUGAAGUUCGCUGACUUAGCAAUUAUUGUACAGAAGUACAACGUGAUGGAAAGCGCCUGGAAAACUCAGGCAGCUUGCUGGGAACCGUUGGUCCCAACUCAACUCCUCCUACAGACGAUGAGGGCGCACCCCCGUGGCACGCCCAGUCCAACAAUCAAGAAACAUAAACCCAUUACGUGGCACGGCACCGUUCUGGAGGGAUGGCUCGAUGGCCCAUGCAAAAUACACACGACACCAGAUACUGUGGCAACCCACAGCCUUAGAGCUUGUUGGAUACUCCGGCAGGUAGCCAAGAGCGGCGAGGACAUCCUCAUCAAGGACACCCCAGAACAGCACGCUCCAGAAAACAACGACACAAGAGUAUUUACGGUCUACGAGACAUUUGCUUCAAACAACAAGCGAAAAAGGGCACUUCACGACCUCGCCGAAGUCUGCCAAAUCGCUGCAAUAAACCCUUGGAACGACACGGCUAUAACAUUUAAUGCCGAUGAUGAACCAAAGUACAGGACAGUCCGAGUGCCAGCCGCAUUAGUCCUCAGUCCCACCAUGGACGGGUUUCGACUUAAGGUCCUCAUGGACGGCGGCAGCGGACUAAACCUCAUUUAUCAGGACACACUCCACAAAAUGGAAAUAGACAGGAGCCGCAUCAAGCAAAGUAGCACAACCUUCUGAGGAAUCAUUCCCAGUCGAGAGGCGCGAUGCGCGGGAAAAAUCACACUUGACUUGGUAUUUGGCACGCCAGAGAAUUAUCGGUCCGAAGAAAUCACUUUCCAAGCGGCCCCUUUCAGCAGCGGAUACCACGCCCUGUUGGGGCGGGAUGCUUUUACACGCUUCCAAGCUAUACCUCAUUACGGGUAUAUGAAGCUCAAAAUGCCCGGACCAAAUGGUAUAAUCACUCUCGUCAGUGAUCCGGACAUAGCACUCCGCGCUGAAAACAAAACCGCAUCCCUGGCCCUUGAGGCGCUAUCCGAAGCCCUCGCGGCUGAAGAAUUAACCGCACUGCGCUCCACGGUGGACAGGGACGAUGUGAUCCUCGACAAACGCCCUAAAUCCACCUCCUUCAAACCAGCAGAAGAAAUAGUCAAAUUCCAGGUCCACCCAACGGACCCCAAGAAGACAGCAUCUAUCGGAGCGCAACUGAACCCAACAGUCGACGCCGCACUGCGAGAAUUCCUGCGCGAAAACUGGGACAUAUUUGCCUAGCACCCUUCAGAUAUGCCAGGGAUCCCACGCAAGCUGGCCGAACAUAGCCUCAAUAUAUUAAAGGGAUUUAAACCGGUCAAGCAAACAUUGCGGCACUUUUCCGAACCCAAGCGACAAGCCAUGGGGGAGGAGCUGGCCAAGCUUAUCGAAGCCGGAUUCAUUAGAGAAAUCAAACAUCCGGACUGGCUGGCAAACCUGGUGAUGGUACCAAAGAAGGACAAAUCCUGACGCCUGUGUGUCAGUUUCAAAGACCUCAACAAGGCUUGCCCUAAGGAUCCCUUCCCCCUCCCCCGCAUUGAUCAAAUCAUUGACGCCACCGCAGGACACGACUCACUGUGUUUCCUCGAUGCAUAUUCCGGAUACCAUCAAAUCAAAAUGAAGGAGUCCGUUCAAGCUGCAACAACAUUUAUUACCCCUUAUGGGCCAUUCUACUUCAACACCAUGCCUUUCGGGCUCAAGAACACCGGCGCCACAUACCAACGCAUGAUUCAAACAUGCCUGGAGAAGCAGAUCGGCAAAACAGUAGAAGCUUACGUUGAUGACGUCGUCAUCAAAACUAGGCACGUUGAAACACUAAUAGAUGACUUACCUCUUACAUUCGACAACCUCCGUGCGUAUGACAUUAAACUCAACCCGGAAAAGUGUGUCUUCGGCGUCCCCGCUAGAAAACUGCUGGGCUUCAUCGUUUCCAAUAGAGGAAUAGAAGCAAAUCCAGCUAAAAUCCGAGCUCUGUCACAGUUGGCUACGCCAACAGACCUCAAACAAGUCCAAAAACUAGUUGGUUGCAUGGCAGCGUUAAGUCGCUUUAUCUCCAGAUUAGGAGAAAAGGCACUACCACUCUAUCGCCUCUUACGGCGCACCGAUAACUUCGAAUGGACAGACGCGGCGACUGCCGGACUGGAGAAAAUAAAGGCCCUCCUAGCAAGCAAACCAAUCCUGGCCGCACCAAACGCUGGCGAACCCAUGUUGCCAUACAAAUCGGCAACACAUCAGGUGGUGAGCGCCGUGCUCGUCGUCGAACGAGAAUAGGACGGACACAAAUUCCCACUUCAAAAACCAGUAUACUACGUAUCUACUGUCCUCACACCAUGCAAAUCCCGGUACCCCCAUUACCAAAAGAUAGCAUAGACGGUCUUCAUGGCAUCCCGAAAGCUACGACACUACUUCCAGGAGUGUUCAAUCACGGUGGCUUCUGAAGUCCCACUCAAUGACAUAAUAAACAACCGCGACGCCACGGGACGGAUCACCAAACGGGCCAUAGAGCUACUUCCAUUUGACAUAACAUACAAGCCACGUCGAGCCAUCAAAUCCCAAGUACUGGCUGACUUCGUCGCCGAAUGGACGGAGGCCGAACUCCCUAAAGAGUACGAUGCAUAUUCCAAUUGGGUUACGUAUUUUGACGGCUCCAAAAUGCUGGCGGGGCUAGGAGCGGGAGUCGUGUUAACAUCCCCCACGGGAGAUGUCGUCCUGUAUGUACUCCAAAUACUAUACAGAGACUCCAACAACGCAGCCGAAUACGAGGCCCUAUUGCAUGGUCUUCGGAUGGCCGUAUCCAUGGGCAUACAACGCCUAGAGGUGCGCGGGGAUUCAAACCUUGCAAUAUCUCAAAUAAAUGGAGACUUUGAUGCCAAAGAUCCAAAGAUGGCAGCUUAUCGUAAUGCCAUCUUAAAAAUAUCGGCUCGGUUCGAGGGGCUCGAAUUUCAUCACGUCGCCCGGGAGAGUAAUCAGGCAGCGGACGUCCUUGCUCGCAUCGGCGCCAAGCGUGACCCCGUUCCACCCAACAUUUUCCUGGAAAGGCUUUUCAAGCCAUCCGUGGUGUGGCAAGGGGAGGGCGGCAACAACAGUCAAGAUUCUAAUACAACCCCAAAUCCCGAACACACGAUAGUAUCAGGGGCUCAGCCAACGAAAUAACACCAUCGGCCCAUCUCAUUAUGGCAGUCAUUUCCCCAUGGACCGAACCCUUCUUGGCCUACAUUAAUAGGAAGGAGCUUCCCGAAGACCAGAAUGAGGCUCGCCGCAUUAUCCGACGUUCGAAAGCCUACAAGGUUCACGACCGAGAGCUCUACAAGAAAAGUACUACCUGAGUACUUCAAAGAUGUAUCUUCGAAGAAGAGGGGCGGCAGCUUUUAGCGGAAAUUCACACUGGUUUCGGCGGACACCACGCCGCAGCUCGGGCCCUUGUUAGCAAGGCCUUCCGUACUGGGUUUGAUUGGCCGACAGCCCGAGCAGACGCGCAAGACCUUGUCCAACGCUGCGUCGGAUGCAAACUCUUCCCCAACCAAAGCCACAUGCCCCCAACUGCCUUAAAAACUAUCCCCAUUACUUGGACUUUCGCGGUCUGGGGACUGGAUAUGGUUGGACCCCUUAAAGGGGGAAGCCAUAAGAAAAAAUAUCUGCUGGUCAUGGUGGACAAAUUCACUAAGUGGAUAGAGGCUAAACCGGUCAAAACGGCUGAGUCCGGCCCAGUGAUAGAAUUCAUAUCCGGUGUUGUGCACCGUUAUGGUGUCCCACACAGCAUCAUCACCGACAACGGCUCUAAUUUCACAGCCGAUGAGGUAAAAACUUGGUGUGCUAAUCUUGGCAUUAAACUCGAUUACGCCUCCGUCUACCACCUGCAAACCAACGGUCAAGCCCAGACUAGUGCGGUCUUUGAGAGAAUCAGACAAGCACUGGGUUGAGGAGCUUGACUCCGUACUCUGGGGGAUGCGGACCACGCCCAACCGUACUACCGGAUACACACCUUUCUUCAUGGUGUAUGGCGCGGAGGCUGUAUUACCCUGCGAUAUUAUCCACGACUCACCUCGAGUGCGUAUGUACGAAGAGAGAGAAGCCGAGCUUGAUCGGAAGGACAACCUAGAUGCCCUGGAAGAGGAGCGCGAUGUCGCACAAGCCCGUUCAGCAUUUUACCAACAACAGGCUCAAAGAUAUCAAAGCAGAGAAGUACGGGCCAAGACCUACAACAUUGGCGAACUCGUUCUACGCCUGCUGGAGAAGAAAAAGGACAAACUCAAGCCCAAAUGGGAGGGUCCUUUCAUAAUUGACGAAGUUCUCACCGGAGGGGCGUACCGUCUUCGCGAUGCAUCAGACAAUCGCCUCGAGACGAACCCCUGGAACGUGACCAGACUCCGAAGAUUCUAUGCCUAGCGCCGAACUCCUUGUUCGUCUCCUUCUCCCCUGUAGUUUCCAUUAUUUUCUCUCUUUUCCGAUUACUUUUUUCUUUCUUGCUUUAAAGCUUUCGUAUGGCUAGACCGCACACCCCUGACGCAUACAUUUUUAAAUAUGUACGUCCAUUAUACCUGGGGGCUUCUCGGACAGAAGCUUUUUAUUAUUAUUCCUUGAGCAUCAAGCUCUUCACAUAUGAGUUUUUCCAUAUGUACCUUUUCUUCGCCACUAUAUGCAUCGAUAUGACUUAAGUUUCGGCCAAGCUGGGUUGCCUGGCUCCUGUGCUUAUGCCCUACGUUCCCGUUAGUUCGGCUAGGGCAUAAAGGGAGCACCUCUGCGAUUGUUACUGCCGGGUCAUCCAGAUGUGUACCUCAGACUGGGUGAAGCCGAAAGCUAGCAUUCUUAAGGGAAUAUUCGGUCGGUGAAUUAAAGAUGUUUUUUGCACUCACUCCAUUGUGAACCCCCAGAAGCUAUACACACUGUGAUUUUCACAUCACAAUUCGGACAUGUAUACUAAUGAUGCACACCAACGGAAAGGAACCCUUAAAAUUUCAAUGUAAUAUAACAUAGCUAGCCGGAUAAAACUUGUCUGUUCAAUUAACUAUGACCCCUAUGCCUAGUUUUCGCGCAUACCCCGGUCUAUUCGACCCUGCGGGUAUUCGGAAACACUCCGCACCUUCGGGUCCGGAGGUUGAAGCGAAAAGGUCUGCCAUGGCAAAUGCUAUACAAUUCAGCUAGAGUUAUAUAUCAAGUUGAAGGCAUUGAAUGUCUCUUCCGAGAACUUGGGGUCUCGUAAGACAGCCCUGCAGCGCCGAGUUGGUAACGGACAUGUCUUCCGAGCCCUCGUCUCAAGGACAGUCCGGCGUUGUCCCUAUAGGGGCCCUCACCUCUCUGGUGGGAUCUAAAUCCCGGUUGUUGGGAGUGCGACCGGCCGAAUCCCCGGACAUAGUCCGGUGAACCUUUUUCCUGAUACAGGACCAACAUAACGAUCACCGUUGGGUACGACUGCCAAAGCAUACCUUCAAACCCAUACCUCUUCGACGAAGGACCGGCCUUGUCUUCGCCGACCUUCCUUUUCGAGGACUGCUUCCUCUUGAGCACUGCAUUGUUUUUCCCCUGAAGAGGAAAGGGUGAUGCAGUAAAGUAGCGUAAGUAUUUCCCUCAGUUUUUGAGAACCAAGGUAUCAAUCCAGUAGGAGACCACGCUCCAGUCCCACGCACCUACACAAACAAAUAAGAACCUCGCAACCAACGGGAUAAAGGGGUUGUCAAUCCCUUCACGGUCACUUACGAGAGUGAGAUCUGAUAGAGAUGAUAAGAUAAUAUUUUUGGUAUUUUUAUGAUAAAGAUGAAAAGUAAAAUAAAUGGCAAUAGAAAUAGCUAAGUGUUGGAAGAUUAAUAUGAUGGAAAAUAGACCCAGGGUCCAUAGGUUUCACAAGUGGCUUCUCUCAAGAUAGCAUAAGUAUUACGGUGGGUAAACGAAUUACUGUCGAGCAAUUGAUAGAAUUGAGCAUAGUUAUGAGAAUAUCUAGGUAUGAUCAUGUAUAUAGGCAUCACGUCCGCGACAAGUAGACCGAAACGAUUCUGCAUCUACUACUAUUACUCCACACAUCGACCGCUAUCCAGCAUGCAUCUAGAGUAUUAAGUUCAUAAGAACAGAGUAAUGCUUUAAGCAAGAUGACACGCUGUAGAGGGAUAAACUCAUGCAAUAUGAUAUAAACCCCAUCUUUUUAUCCUCGAUGGCAACAAUACAAUACGUGCCUUGGUGCCCCUGCUGUCACUGGGAAAGGACACCGCAAGAUUGAACCCAAAGCUAAGCACUUCUCCCAUUGCAAGAAAGAUCAAUCUAGUAGGCCAAACCAAACUGAUAAUUCGAAGAGACUUGCAAAGAUAACCAAUCAUACAUAAAAGAAUUUAGAGGAGAUUCAAAUACUGUUCAUAGAUAAACUUGAUCAUAAACCCACAAUUCAUCGGAUCUCGACAAACACACCGCAAAAGAAGAUUACAUCGAAUAGAUCUCCAAGAGAAUCGAGGAGAACUUUGUAUUGAGAUCCAAAGAGAGAGAAGAAGCCAUCUAGCUAAUGACUAUGGACCCGAAGGUCUGAGGUAAACUACUCACACAUCAUCGGAGAGGCUAUGGUGUUGAUGUAGAAGCCCUCCGUGAUCAAUGCCCCCUCCGGCGGAGCGCCGUAAAAGGCCCCAAGAUGGGAUCUCACGGGUACAGAAGGUUGCGGCGAUGGAAAUAGGGUUUUGGCUCUGUAUAUGAUGUUUCCAGGGUAUAUGGGUAUAUAUAGGAGGAAGAAGUACGUCGGUGGAGCAACGAGGGGCCCACGAGGGUGGAGGGUGCGCCUAGGGGGGGUAGGCGCCCCCUACCUCGUGGCUUCCUCGUCUGUUGCUUGACGUCCACUCCAAGUCCUCUGGAUCACGUUUGUUCCAAAAAUCACGUUCCCGAAGGUUUCAUUCCGUUUGGACUCCGUUUGAUAUCCUUUUCCUUCGAAACACUGAAAUAGGCAAAAAAAACAACAAUUUGGGCUGGGCCUCCGGUUAAUAGGUUAGUCCCAAAAAUAAUAUAAAAGUGUAUAAUAAAGCCCAUUAAACAUCCAAAACAGUAUAUAAUAUAGCGUGGAACAAUACAAAAUUAUAGAUACGUUGGAGACGUAUCAAGCAUCCCCAAGCUUAAUUCCUGCUCGUCCUCGAGUAGGUAAAUGAUAAAAACAGAAUUUUUGAUGUGGAAUGCUACCUAGCAUAAUUUUCAAUGUAACCCUCUUAAUUGUGGUAUGAAUAUUCAGAUCCGAAAGAUUCAAGAUAAAAGUUUAAUAUUGACAUAAAAGUAAUAAUACUUCAAGCAUACUAACUAAGCAAUUAUGUCUUCUCAAAAUAACAUGGCCAAAGAAAGUUCAUCCCUACAAAAUCAUAUAGUUUGGUCAUGCUCCAUUUUCGUCACACCAGAAUGCUCUCAUCAUGCACAACCCCGAUGAUAAGCCAAGCAAUUGUUUCAUACUUUAGUAAUCUCAAACUUUUUUCAACUUUCACGCAAUACAUGAGCGUGAGCCAUGGAUAUAGCACUAUGGGUGGAAUAGAAUAUAAUGAUGGGGGUUAUGUGGAGAAGACAAAAAAGGAGAAAGUCUCACAUCAACGCGGCUAAUCAAUGGGCUAUGGAGAUGCCCAUCAAUUGAUGUUAUUGUGAGGAGUAGGGAUUGCCAUGCAACGGAUGCACUAGAGCUAUAAAUGUAUGAAAGCUCAACAAAAGAAACUAAGUGGGUGUGCAUCCAACUUGCUUGCUCACGAAGACCUAGGGCAUUUGAGGAAGCCCAUUGUUGGAAUAUACAAGCCAAGUUCUAUAACGAAAAAUUCCCACUAGUAUAUGAAAGUGACAAAACAAGAGACUAUCUAUCAUAAGGAUCAUGGUGCUACUUUGAAGCACAAGUAUGGAAAAAGAUAGUAGCAUUACCCCUUUUUCUUUUCUUUUUUUGGCCUUUUUUUGGGACAAUGCUCUAUGAAUGAUGAUCAUCACACUUCUAUUUAUUUACAACUCAAUGAUUACAACUCGAUACUAGAACAAAGUAUGACUCUAUAUGAAUGCCUCCAGCGGUGUACCGGGAAGGGAAAUGAAUCAAGAGUGACAUGUAUGAAAUAAUAUGCAUGGUGGCUUUGCCACAAAUACGGUGUCAACUACAUGAUCAUGCAAGGCAAUAUGACAAUGAUGAACGUGUCAUGAUAAACAGAACGAUGGAAAGUUGCAUGGCAAUAUAUCUCGGAAUGGCUAUGGAAAUUCCAUAAUAGGUAGGUAUGGUGGCUGUUUUGAGAAAGAUAUAAGGAGGCUUAUGUGUGAUAGAGCGUAUCGUAUCACGGGGUUUGGAUGCACCGGUGAAGUUUGCACCAACUCUCAAGGUGAGAAAGGGCAAUGCACGGUACCGAAGAGGCUAGCAAUGAUGGAAGGGUAAGAGUGCGUAUAAUCCAUGGACUCAACAUUAUUCAUAAAGAACUCACAUACUUAUUGCAAAAAUCUACAAGUCAUCAAAAACCAAGCACUACGCGCAUGCUCCUAGGGGGAUAUAUUGGUACGAAAAGACCAUCGCUAGUCCCCGACCGCCACUCAUAAGGAGGACAAUCAAAGAACACCUCAUGUUUCAAAUUUGUUACACAACAUUUAGCAUGCGUGCAUGCUACGAGAUUUGCAAACUUCAACACAAGUAUUUCUCAAAUUAACAACUACUCAACUAGCACAACUUUAAUAUCACUACCUCCAUAUCUCAAAACAAUCAUCAAGCAUCAAACUUCUCUUAGUAUUCAACACACUCAUAAGAAAGUUUUUACUAAUCUUGAAUACCUAGCAUAUUUGGACUAAUUUCACAAUUAAAGCAAAUUACCAUGCUGUUUUGUAGGACUCUCUCAAAAUAAUAUAAGUGAAGCAUGAGAGAACAAUAAUUUCUAUAAAACAACUCCACCACCGUGCUCUAAAAGAUAUAAGUGAAGCACUAGAGCAAAAACUAUAUAGCUCAAAAGAUAUAAGUGAAGCACAUAGAGUAUUCUAAUAAAUUCCGAAUCAUGUGUGUCUCUCUCAAAAGGUGUGUACAGAAAGGAUGAUUGUGGUAAACUAAAAAGGAAAGACUCAAAUCAUACAAGACGCUCCAAGCAAAACACAUAUCAUGUGGUGAAUAAAAAUAUAGCUCCAAGUAAAGUUACCGAUGGAUGAAGAUGAAAGGGGGGAUGCCUUCCGGGGCAUCCCCAAGCUUUGCCUUUUUGGUGUCCUUAGAUUUACCUUGGGGUGCCAUGGGCAUCCCCAAGCUUAGGCUCUUGCCAUUCCUUGUUCCAUAAUCCAUCAAAUCUUUUACCCAAAACUUGAAAACUUCACAACACAAAACUUAACAGAAAAUCUCAUGAGCCCCGUUAGAGAAAGAAAACAAAACACCACUUCAAGGUACUGUAAUGAACUCAUUCUUUAUUUAUAUUGGGUGUUAAACUUACUGUAUUCCAAUUUCUCUAUGGUUUAUAAACUAUUUUACUAGCCAUAGAUUCAUCAAAAUAAGCAAACAACACACGAAAAACAGAAUCUGUCAAAAACAGAACAGUCUGUAGUAAUCUGUAACUAACGCAAACUUCUGGAACUCAAAAAAUUCUACCAAAAUAGUACGACCUAAAUAAUUUGUCUAUUGAUCUUCUGCAAUUGGAAUCAGUAUUUUAUCACGUUCUGGUGAUUUUUAACAAUUAUUUUUGUGAACAGAAAGUUUCUGGAUUUUUCAGCAAGAUCAAAUAACUAUUAUCCAAGAAGAUCCUAUAGGUUUCACUUGGCACAAACACUAAUUAAAACAUAAAAAAAAUCUAACCAGAGGCUAGAUCAAAGAUUUAUUCCUAAACGGCAAGGAUAAAUAUUGGGCUGUCUCCCAACAAGCGCUUUUCUUUAAAGCCUUUUAGCUAGGCAUUGAGGUUUCAAUGAUGCUCACAUGAAAGACAAGAAUUGAAG